UUUUUUUUUUUUGUGUUAUCAAGUGAUAAAAGUAAUCUACAUUAGUAUGUACACAUUUGAGACAAUUUACCAAAACUAAUGCUCGAGACACAUCAAAUUAAUGUGUGUGCCAACUAAUAAAAAGAUAUUAAAAUGAUUCAAAUUAUUUUUGGUGGGAAGUAGUAGUUUAGUAAAGUUGUGGUUUUUUGUUAGACAAGUGAAAGUUAAUUUAACAAGAUAUGGAGUAGUUAUAGAGAGGUGGGUAGUUGAAAUGAUGUAAUUAUCCUUAGAGAUAAGUGUAGAUUAGGUAAUACAUUAAAUGACACAAUUUUGUUUACACCAAAUCUUUCCCCCUCUUGCUUUACACACAGCAUAUAGUAAGAUAAGAUAUUAACAUUUGAUCAUGAAAAAAAAAAAAAAAACCUAAUCUUCAAGUCUACAUUAUGUUUUAUCCAUUGAGAGAAGCAAGUCCUCAAUCUUGCUUGACUAUUUGCAUUUUGGAAGCUCCAGAAAGGUUUUGUAUAAAUGUUCCAUAUCCUUUUGUGAGGCGAGUGGUAAAUUAGUGUUUUCUAAUCAAUUUCUGGGUUUACUUCUUUUUUUAUGCCUCUAGUUAACUAGGAAAUCAAUUCCGAGUUUUCCAUUGAAAUUUAGUUUCCAAAGAAAGGGAAUUUCUUAGUUGGAAGUAAGAAAAAUUCGUCCAAAUUUUGCUCUACGUAGAUGGAAGGAUAUAUAAGCCAUCCUUGUACUGCUGAAAGAUACUGAGCUAAAAAAAAAUUCUGAGAUCAUAAAAGUUUGUGUUGGCAUGCAAUGCUCUGAUAAAAUUUGAUGUGAUUAUUUUCUUUUCUGAGAGGAAGGCGCAUGUAACUGUGGACAAACAAAACUGAUUAGGAUUUAUUUUUGGUCGGGUUUGGACAAGCCCAUGUGCAUUUGAGAAUGAUAUAUUCACAUUUAUGCUAAUGACAAACCCCUUUAUCGUUCUUUCACAUGGAAUCGCAAUAAAUUUUCCAGCACUAUGUAAGUUGUUACGAUGGCAUGAUUGUUAAAUCAAUUGUCAUGGCAGAAUAUUGGAGUAAAUGUAACAAUCAAAGGGAGGAUUUGCAGCACAUGUGUACAUAGGGUUUGAUUCAAUUUUAGCAGAUGGGUCGGACAUGAAUCCGUCCAUAUAUUUUGUAGGAUUCACAGAACCGAUGCUCAAAUGGGGCAAUUAUCAAGUUGGUAUUCAGCACUUAAAUUUAAUGAAUUUAAACUCUAAUACGUCGAGACGUGUCUGAUAGCCAAGAGUAAAAUAUUUUAAUUAAUUAAGUGGCAUCGAGACGUGUUUGAUAGCCAAGAGUAAAAUAUCUUAAUUAAUUAAGUGGCACCGAAUUGUCGAUCUGGACAAAACUUACUCCAAAAAAAUGAGUGAUAAACUGUUCAUUUAUCAUUUAAUGCAAAAUAUGUUCAAAUGUUAAGAUUUCAAAAUUUAACAUUUUGUAACUUAACAGAUUCACAGAUUUCAAAUUUUAAAUUUUAGAUUUCAAAUUUCAGUUUCAUAAGUUAUUGAAUUGUUAAGUACUGAAAUCUUAAUAUUUGAAUAUAUUCCAUAUUAAAUGAUAAAUGAACAGUUUAUCACUUAUAGUUUUUGAGUAAGCUUUGCCUAAACAAUUCAUUGUCAUUUAAUUAAUUAAGACGUUUUUUUUAUUAUCAAACACGUUUGAACAUAUUAAGUUCUUAGCUCAUUAAAUUUAAGUGUCCAAUUGAGUUAUCAAAUAGGCCAUUAGUCUUGAAACAUAAUGAUAAUAGACAAUAAAUGUAAGUGCAUGCACUCAAAUGAUAAAUUAGGUAUCAAGUAUAUUAAUAAGUGUUCACUAAGUACUCUUUUCUUUUUUUAUGAAAUUCAUUCAAUAAAUCUAUACUAAUGACAAAAAUUACAUCAAAUCAAAUAUGAUACAGAUACAUAUAAAUCUAAAAAUAAGCGAAUCCAACAAAUGUGAAAAACCAAUAAAAAAAAUAACAUUGAUGCUCCAACUGAGCACUAUUGAAAAAACUUUUUUAUUCUGUUAGUGGUGGUUAUAUAUACCUAAAUGAUCUUACUUGAAUUAAGGAACAUUUUCCAAGGCCAGUUAGGGUAGUCCCUGUAGAAUUGCUUAUGCGAAAUCUUGGCUUAAUUAGAGAAUCACUAGAAGUUAGGGGUUGACAUCAUUCUUGCCAAGUUUUGAUUUAAAUGUUUGGGUAUUCUUAAUCAUAGGUGGCUAAUAAAAGUAGGGAUUUGUGCUUUGAUUACAUAUUCUUCGUUUUAAUAAAGAAUGACUGAAAGAAAGCAAAUCAUGUCAAAAUGAUUGAAACAGCUUCUUGAGUUCGAGGGUAUUAAGAAUAUCAAUUCUGAUCCCGCAUCUUCUUUAUUAGGAUGUCUAACCAUCAACUUCACCAUUCAAUUAUCGCGUUUGGCUGAUAUCCACUUGAUUAGGAUGUCUAAUAUCAACUCGUUAAGAGGGGUCUUGAAUGUUGGUUCUUUUUUUUUUUUUAGAAAAACGUAAUUAAUUUUAAAAAGUGUCUAAAUAUAAGAGUAUAAUAAUUGUAAUUAUGUGUAUUAGUAUAAUAAGUUACGUGUAAUAUAGGUAUGUUAACAAAAUGGACCCCUGCUGAAAAAAAAUUCUUUAAUUAUUGUGUUUGCAUUAUUAUUUAUUUACAUGGAAGUAUUUAAUUUUAUUUUUUGUCAAAUGUCAAUUAUUAACAUGGAAAUAUAUUGUAUCACUUUUUUGUGUUUAAUUUUUUCUAUGGACAUUGAUUGUUGUCUCCUUACUCCCACAAAAUUAAUUUAUCUCUUGGACACUUUCCCUUCAGCUUAUGACAAAUUUGAAUAUAUAUAUUUUUUGGGGUCGAAGUGUGAAAAUUUUUAUUGAAGCAUUUUUUUUUAAAAAAAAAGAAAGAAGAAAAUGAAAAAUGAUUGGAGCAUCAUUUUCGCGAUGAAGUCUCAAACAAGACGUCGGCCAACCAUCUUACCUUGUCCAGGUCUUGCUAACCAACGAGAGUGAGUGAAUGACAUAAUGACAAGGACCAUUGGCUUCAAAAUCAAAUCAUACCUAAUCCGCUUUCCCCUAUCCCCCUCCCCCAAAUCCCUGCCCUUCCCUUCCCUCCCUCUUCUUCUGUACUUUUUCUUAAGGGUAGAGAGGAAUUGUCAUCUGGACGAUAUAUAAAAGUAAAAAAAUUUGAAUUCAAAACCUCGUAUUUAAAAUUCUCUUUAUUACUAUCCAAUCUAAUCCAAUUCUUCCUAUGCAAGAAUACAUAGUCGUUAUGGAAACAAAAAUACCUUUGAUCCCUUACUUUACUUAGUCUAAAUACAUCCAAUACUACUGCUUGUUUGGUACCCAUACAUCAGCAAGGAUGAUUUUUGUGGAGGCAAGAAAAGCUUUAGCUUAAGUUCUUACCCUUAUCAACCUAAAAUUAAUCUUCAUGGAUAGCCAAGAAAAGUAAUUUUACAGGAAUUAUAACCAUGAUCUAUAUAAAUAGUAAAUGAACAUGAGACAAUUGAUCUAAAUAGGUAAUUCUAACAGCAUUUUACAUAGAAUAAUCACACUGUAUCUUUUUUCCUAUUUAUUAUUGUUAAGCAUCGUCUCGAUUUAACUUGUGAGUCUCUUUUCGUGGAGUAGCCUAUUGCACAUAGAGUUCGUCCAAACGUAUGGGCAACAACUACAUGAGAUAUAGUAAGUGAGAGGUCCUAAGUUGGGAAAAUGAAGUGUAAGUAAGAGAUUUCGAAUUCGAACUCUCCACUUACACUAAAUUUUUUUUUUCAAGAAAAGGGAUGUAUUGGAUAGUAUGGAAGAAAGGAAUAUAAAUGAAAAGUCCCAUUUUAAGACGCACGACUUGCGCUUUAAAAAAAAAACUUCUUUGACGCUUAGGGGAGAGAGAGACACUUUUUUGACAGAUAUAGUAAGUGAUUCAACAAACUUUUUGCACGGAGUAUUCAAACAUGUUGUAGGUCAUGGUUCAGAGAUCUUCUUUACUCAGUGUUUUUUUCAUUCUUUUCCGCACGCAAUUGCUUUGUUUUAGCUGGAUUAGUAAUAUUUAGCAUUCCUGGAUUAAUAAUCACUUAAUUUGGGAGAAGAGAUAAGUUGGGUGGUUCAGGGGAGGAUAUGUAAGUGAGAGAUCCGAAUUCGAACUAUCGCGCUUACAUUAAAAAAAUUUAAAAAAUUCUAAAAAAACCCACUUAACCUAUUUGAACCAAAAUUAUCUGGAUCCAAUCCUUUUAUACCCACCACUUACAAUUUUACAGAGGAGGGGCAAGAACGGUUGCAGUCAUCAUGGCCAAGAUUUAGUAAAAAACAAAAUGUACGGUCUAAAUUUCAUCUUGUACAUAGUUUUUCACACCAUGUGUAAGAUUCAUAAAAUUUUGUUUUAUAAUUACACAUUGUUAUAAGUAGAUUAUAUCGUGUGUAUAAAAAAUUCCAUCUUAUGCAUUUUAUACAAAACCACUCCGAACGUUUUCCCAAUGACUGUUCGACACCUUGUCCCAAUUUUAUUGUCGACGACUCCGGUUGGGCGAUGACUAAAAUACGACAAAAAAAAAAUUAAAACAAGCCAUGAGACUGGUGGACCCAGUCAUCAGAUGAAGAUCCCAGAGUGGGGUCCACAUCUGGAUCCUGGACAAUCAAGCUGACCUAAUGCUAACCCAAUAUCAUGGCUUGCUUUUGGGCUUUCUUUCAGGAAGGAGGCAUGUGGGCCGAACUGAAUCCGUAGCCGCAUCUAAAAUUUUGACUCAGAAAAAUUGUAGGGAUAAAAACCAAAAAAAAAAAAAGAAAAUUAAAUUUUUAGUAGAAUAUACUUAUGCGGACGAAGUAGCUCGGAUGAAGCCACAAAUUUUGAUCCUAGGGCACUUUGUCCUAUUCUUACCAUUCUUUGAACUUGGAACUUGUCAGUCUUGUCUCAAUUGCCAAAUUUGCCAUCCUUCACACACCUAAUUUACGAUGGAGGAAGACCACUUUUGAUGUCCCCAAGUCCUAAAUUCGAUACGAGGUUUCACCAUCAAAUUGGAAAAGGAAAUUUCCCAUUUCGUUCGUUUCAAUUUCGCCAUCCGCAAAAAUUGCUACGUUUUUUCGUGAACAUAUUUUUAAUCACUUCAUAUAUAUCAAAUCGAUACAGUAAAUUUUCUACAAAAAAAAUUCAGAAAAAUACAAUCCAAACACAGUCUUAAUUUAGUGUGUAACGAUACGUUGCUUCAUACUUGUUUCAGUAUUGCAAGCCCUAGUUAGAUUCAGAAAUGCUACGUACGUUUUAUAGUUAUCGAGAAAAUUCAAGUUCUCUCUUCGCUCGCCACAAACAAUUCUCGGAGAUUUCCUUUUUCAUCUUAGAAGAUAAGGAACGAAAUAAUCAAACUAUUGAUAUUGGAAGAUUUUAUUUGCUUAUUAGUCCCUUACCUUCCUUCAUAAUGCUGUGUAACUAGAAAGGGAGAAAACGCCAAUGUGUUCACCCAACAAGGAACCAUGCAGAUUCUCCUUUCUACACAGGACAAAUAUUUCCUUUUACUUGGAAAGUUUAAAAAUCAAAAGCCCGAGUGGUAGUUGGCAAUUUGGCAUGAUUUGCAAUGCUUGGCUUACCCUAGAUGGAGAGCUGCAUGAAACCUAGCUGCUUCUAUCCUAAGGGAACAAAUUUUAAUCAGUUUCAUGCAUACUAUAUCCUUUUGCUAUAAUCCGAAUAUUAGCAGUACCGUAAUACAAUCAUUGGGCAGUUUGAGAACUUAUGGCGGGGCCAAAGUACAAUAAUAAGAGAGUGUAAGAUUAAAUCUAGGCAAUUGUUUAUGCGGGCACGCCUUAGAGUCUGUUUGAAUUGCCUAUUUUUGGAGCUUUUGUAAAAAUGUAUUGUAACGGUUUGCUGUAUGUGAGGUAAAAAGGUAAUUAAGAAAUGUAUUCGUAGAAAAUUUAAAAAUUUUUAGAGUAAAAUUGCAAUCCAAACAAGGUUUUCAGAGGCAUUCAUGCAAAAUCCCAAAAACGCAAAAGGAGAUUUUCUAAGGAUGCACUAAGUACAUUCGUGCUAAAUGCACUAAAAUGCAAGGGCUAAUUUUGUGUUACCAAUCUUAAAAAAAAGAAAAAAAAAAAAAAAAAAAACCUCCACAUUGAGUAAAUCCAUAUCAUGUAAAUUGACAGACAAAUAUAUUUGAUGUCACCUGUGAAAAAUGACGUCUGAAAGUGAAAACAUUAGAAAAGCCCUUUGGAUGGUGAUGGCAGGAAAAAGGGUCGAUAAAUUUUGAGUUUAAACCCUUGCACAACAUUGUCAGUUGACCCAUCAAUUCUGGAAUUUCCAGAUCUGGGAUUUGGUUCAGAAGAAAGCUACAAAGCAACCGUCGCCAUAUGUGGCUCACUUUUUGAAAGACAUUUCUUUAUUAUUUUGCAUUAAUAUGGUUAGCAUCAAGACUUCCAAUUUUGAUGUAAUAAGAGUGAAAAAAAAAAAACAAAUCAAUUAAAUGUAAGAACUGCGUCGUCGAUGGCAUGUGGCAUUAGAAUGAGGUGACUCUCCUUUCAUCGUAAGUUUUUUAACGUUCAAGAAAAAAAUUUUUAGUUGAUUGUUAGGCCAAUAUUGUGGAUCUAAUUAGUCACAUUCUUUGAUUAAAAUGAGGGCUAACUUUAAACCCUUAAUAUUAUGACAACAAUCAAGAACCAAAAUAUAAUUCCAAUGAAAAUUAGCUUUUUCAUUCAUUAGUCGAUGUGGUAAUUGGUUGAAGCCCUCUCUCCUUCUUAAAUCUUACUCCCUCCGUCUCACUUUGAUAGUCUUGUUUUCCUUUUUCGUCUGUCCCAAAUUGUAGUCCACUUUACCAAAAAAUGUAGUAAUCUUUUAAAUUGUCUAAAAUACCCUUAUUAAAUAUCUUGUUAUUAAUACAUUGUUAUUAAAUACUAACCCACUACAUUGAAUACAUUGAACUUUUCCAAUACUAACCUAUUAGCUGUAACUGAUAUUAAUUGGCACUCUUCGUGAUUAGCAUAAGGGUAUUUUAGGAAAUUAUUAAUCUAAAUUUAUGUUUCCAACCAAAUUAAUUACACUUUCUUAAUCUGUAUGAAAAAAAAACCAAGACUAACAAAACGGGACGGAGGGAGUAUUUUUUUUCCCUGCUAAAAAAAUGUCAAAAAAAAAGAUUUUUCUAAAAAAAAGAAGAAGAAAGAUAUGGUAACUCAAAAUUGAUGAUUAGGAAUAAGUCAACUUAUGUUUCUAAGCAACUAUUAGCAAUAUGAUUUUAGUACCAAAAAUGGGAAAAGAAAACUUAUAGUAGGAAGAUGAUCAAAUGCACUUGUCAACUCAGAAAUCCCAUGGUUUAUGACACCUCACGUGCAUGUAAUUAAAUGCAAUUGUCUCCUCAUAAGCUUACCAAUGAAAACUACUGCAACUAGCUCAAAUACAAAGCUUCUGCUUUUUUUUUUUUUUUUUCUGUUUCUAUUUUUUCCCCCUCCCCUUUUUUUUUUUUUAUUUCUUUGUCUUACAGGUACGUACUGAGUUGCCUUAAUUUCUUCGUAUCCUUUUAAUAAAAGAGAAAAGAAUAAUAUCAUGGACUGAAGAAACUCUCACUUAAUAGUCAUUGAAUGUAAAAAUUGACACAAGAUUAUCUCCUAGACUAGUCAUAAUCACGAAAAAUUUAGUAGUAUUGAACUCUUGAAAACGAAAAUAAUACACUAGCUAACUGCAAAAUAUUCUAGUUAGCAAGACGUUUUACUCGUAUCUAACAAGUUAUGGAUUCGAACCAUCAAAGGUAAGUGAGGAACUACUAUUGAUCUUAAAACGAGAAAAAAAAAAAGAAAAAAAAAGAGCACCCAAUGUAGAAUGAAAUGACAAAAGCCCUGAAUUGCAAAGGGUGGAUAGAAAUGUGCCAUGUAUCAUUCUUUAAUUGGUUAAUGGUUUUUCAAUGUUUCUUUCAUAGGUAGAGCUACAUAAAUAGAAGACAAAAUGGAGGAUGCAUUAUGACUACGUGAAGCUCCCCCAAAUUAAAGCUUGGCCUGCUGUUCACAUGGAAUGUCCCAGUAGCUAGAGCUUCCACCAAACUUGUUCCGAUCCUAAACAUUUCCAGGUAGGGUGAAAAGUUCUUCUUCAACUCUCAAAGGGGAGGGGGGUUUUUUUUGGGGGGUGGGUAGCUGGGACACCGCUGCUAGACGAUUUAUAUCCCUUUUUAAACACGUUGUAAUUUAACACAGAUUAUAUGUAUAAAUUAGUAGUACAAAAAAAUGUAGUUGUAUUUAAUUAUUUUUUAGGUGAAUUUGUGGAUAUCUAUUUGUGUCGGAAUUACAUGACAUUAGCCUAACUUCAUAUUUCAAUUUUCUAUUCUAUGACCACCAAUUUAUGGACCGUCGUCUCCCUUAAAUGCCUUUUGAGCACAAGAGUUUUCUAGGAGGAUUUUUCUUUUUCUAGUACAAGGAAUAAAUGUUUCUGCAGAGGAUUUAUUGAUUCACAAAUCUUUUGUUUUAUGUUUUUGAAUCCUUUUAUUCAAAUUCGCGAGGAGCAUACAGUUAGAGUUUAAUGCAAAUUGUUAGAUGAAAAUAUCAAAUCAUUGGUAUAAUUUUAUCAUAUGAACUAAUCUUAUGAUACCUCAACUAUACUGUAGAAUUUUACCGUAUUAUGUACACGAUGAAAACUAGUUCAACUUGCAAAAAUCUUUGAAAAUCCUUUCCUUAUUCCCCUCAUUCACUUAUAUAUAGGUUUAAAGCAAGGGUAAAAUUUAGUCAAUUUGGUAAAACUUGAAAGCGUUUUUACCUUUUUUUUAAAAAAAAUUUCCGUUGUAUUUAUAGAAUUUAAUUACCUAAAUAUGGAGUAAUAAAUAGCGGAUCAGAUCGGCCCUCAGGACGGGCUGCUAUCGUUAACAUUACUGGGCCCAAAAGUAGAUCCGUGGGCAAGAAAUCUUGUGGUUAGGUCCGUUAGGUAUCGUUCAAUCCAGCAAGCACACACGAGCGCUUGACCGCAAUAUAGGAACUACCAUGUCUGUUGCGAGUAACAACAUUGGGUGUUUAGAACAUGUUAGGGGAUCCACGCAAAUUGAAUAAAGGCUCAAAAACACCUAUAUUUGUGCCUCACAUGCAAAUGCUUCAGCUGGCUUUUCUCUUAACCAAGGGAUGGUUAUAAAACUGAAUUAUAAAACUGAAAUUUGAAAUUUGAAUUCUGAAUUUACUAAAUUAUUGAAUUGUUAAAUAUUAAAUCUAAUAUAUUUGAAUGUAUAUCAUAUUAAGUGAUAAGUGAAUAGUUUAUCACUUAUUUUUGGAGAAAUUUUGGUUAGGAAAUUUAGUGUCAUUUAAUUAAUUCAAAUAUUUAUUUUUUGUUAUAAAUGUGUUUGAAUAGAUUAAGAUUUAAAUCUAUUAAGUUUUAAAUGUUGAAUUGGGUUAUCAGAUAAAGCAAUUAUAUUUUUUUAAAUAUAGGAUUAAUUUCACUUUAUUCCCCUAAAUAGUUGGGGUAGUUUUCACUUUAACCCUGAACUUAAAAAUAAUAAUAAAAAAAAAGAACUAUGGCCCUCGAGACUAAUAAUCAAACCAUUCUUUAUAAAAUGCUGUAUGCUGAGGCAAUGAAAAACUUACUUUACAUAUCCUUUUGGAUUCUGAUUUUUCAUAAAAUUUUCUUAUAUUUUCCGUGAAUACAUUUUUAAUCAUUUUUUUUAUCUCACAUACAUCAAAUUGUCACAUUACAUUUUUCUUUCAAAAACUCUUAAAAAUAGCAAUCCAAACAAAAGCGUGCUAAAUAAAUUGAGAGAGAGAGAGAGAGAGAGAGAGAGAGAGAGAGAGAAGACAUACAAAUAGUUACUUAAAAACAUAUAAAAUAAGAAAUUCAUUUUUAGAAAACGUUGAAAUUGUUUUCGGUACGCUAUAUGUUUCUAUUUUUUUCCAAAUAAAAAAUCAAUUUCAAUAGGCUAAAUUACAUGCUCUUCAAGGUUUAUUGAGUUAAUAUGUGGUGAAAGUUAGAACAAUAGGGAACUUUCAUGCUUCAAGAAUUAGAGAGCAAAUUCAAGUAAAGACCCGUUUGAAACACGUUUGCAAAGUACAGCCUUUGUUGGACCCAAGUGUAAAAUACAGUUGUUUGAUUAAAUGGCAUUUAUGUCACAAACUUCUUCUUGGUGCCAUCUUAUUGUGAUACAAGCUACAAGUGGUUUUAGUUUUAGGGGGAGAACUGACUUUUUUUUUUCUUUUCUGAAUUUAAGGGGUAAAAUGGAACCAUUCCUCCAAGUUCAGGGAGAAAUUGAAAUUAACCAUAGAAAGUAUACCUAUUGAUUUAGUGAAAUACAAUAUAGCAACUAAUGACAAAUGUAAAUACAAUAAAAAGAAAAAGAAUUGAUCAAUGUCAUUAUAUUAGUUAACUAACUAAUCAUAAUUCAAUUAUAAUUUAUGAAUACUCCAUCCAAUUAGCAAAACCAGGAAUCAAUCAAUGUGAUUACACUAGUUAGGCAAUGCAUAAUAGGGAGCCAAAAUUUAUAUCUCUGUAGUUUGUUUUCAAGUCAUGACUCUUCAAUAAUUUUCCAAAUUAAGAAUUUUUAUUUUUCUUUCAAAUUUUUUCCUAUGUCUAUACGUCUAAACUAUUAAUUUUGUAAUCAAUUAUUCUUAUUUAGUAGUGAGAGGUAAAACAAUAAUGGACUUAAAAAAAUAUAAAUUAAUCUUAAUAUUGUCAUUCCAUCAAAUAUUUAUCUUUUUUUAUCAUACGCUUUUGUUAGCUUCCAUUUUGAUUUGAGUGUCAUGAAUAGGUGGUAUAGAAUUGCAGCAUUUCUUAAGUCCUAACAUUUUUUGCAUUUUAUUUAGGCCUAUUAUUAAAAGUGUUUGAAUGCUAGUUAUUGGCUUGUAAGUUUAAGCUUAAAUUUAUAUUUUCAAAUUAUUUAGCAUACUCAAUAUCUGCUAAUGUAGCAUAGUCAUUGCAUAAAAGGCGCGCCUGUGUUACUAUGGUACCAAAUUAUCAUACUUUUACUAAAAAAAUAUUUUAAUGACUAAUGUUAAGAAAAGGAAUAAUCAGAACGAGGGAAAUAAUUUACAUUUUGUUCUUUUCGGGGAUUUUUAUCGAGCAACAAGGUGUUUAGACGAGAAAUUGCAACUACUAAGAUUAAAUGACAGGCAAACCUGCAUGCAAAAUAUCAUCUCAUCAACAAAUAAGAUCAGAAUAUUUGCUUUGUUUGGAUUGCGGUUUUCCGUUAGAAAAUUACGUCAUUUUCCGCGAUCACAUUUCUAUUACCUUUUUUCCUCACAUAUAUCAAAUCGUACAGUAAUUUUUUCAUGAAAAAUCAUGAAAAAUGCAAUCCAAACACAACUUGAAGUGAUAGAAAACGAGUUUAAAAAAUUAUUUAUCAAUAUAAGGAACAUUAAUCAAGUGGUUGAUAGGUUCCUGGUUCGAUUUUAAGCCCUCCCCACUCCCUUUGUUCCUCACUUUUUUUUUCGUUCCUUUUUUUUUUUUCCCCGGGGGGGGGGGGGGGGGGGGUGGGUUCAGUUGGAGGCAAGAGCCUAGUUACAUAGGAAUAUUACACCCAUAAAAAAGGCCUUUCCUUCUCUCAUUUUCUAGAAGGAGAAAAAAAUUUAGUGGCCAAUAAACUAUUUCAGUCUUAUACUUUUGGCCACUCAAGAGUUUUUAUUUCAAUGUGGUCACUAAACUCUUAAAUCAUUAUAUUAGUGAUUAUUCCGUCAAAUGUUGUUGUUAAUGCUAAUGGAAUGGGGUUUAUGUGCAUUUCACAUGCUAAAAAAUGAGGACGAUUUCAUCCAACCAUAGGGAAACAAAUUUUACUGGCCACUAAUGUAUUCAAUUUAUACAUUUCUUGCCACUAAAAAGAUUUUUCGUUUCAAAUCGCUGUCCAACUUAGCAAAAUGGUAUACUAGCUGUAAUUCCAUCUGCUUUUCUCUUAAAUUCUUUGAUUUUCAUCCAAUUCUACAUUUGAGCUUAAAUGGUAAAUUUUUCAAGUUAUUUUUUCCACCUAGAGUUUUAAAUUUUCAAUAGUACAAAAAAAAAAAUUAGAAUCUAUAAAAGUCAUUUUAAUAGAUUCUAAUUUAUAAGUUUUGACAAAGUAUCUAAAUUAUAUAAUGAAGUUUUUGUGAAAUAAUUCCAUGAACCUGAAACUAAAUGAAAAUUGUAGAUCUAAUGACAAAAUUUGAAUGAAGACUGCUAAUAUACUAUUUUGCUUAGUUUAGUGGCCGACUUGAAACAAAAAUAGUUGAGUAGCCAAAAUUGUAUUGUUUGUAUAGUUUAGUGGCUAUUUAAGAUUUUGUCUCUUCUUUUAGGAAAAAUUUACCUGUAGUUUUGGCAUGUGCAAUGCAUAUGUAACUCAUUCCGUUAGGGUUAAUAUCGAAUUUUGAUAGAAUGACUACUAAUAUACACAUUUAUAAGUUGAGUGGCUAUUUUAAAUCAAAAACAAUUGAGUAACUAAAAGUGUGCUAAUAGAAUAGUUUAGUAGCCACUACAAUUGUUUCCCUUUAUAGUAAGUAAGGGUGUAAAUUAAUCAACUAACUAAGCUCGGACUUAUGAGUAGUUCGCUCAAAAGUUUGACUCGAAUUUGAUGUAGAUCGCGGUCGAGUCGGGUUCAAGUUGUUUGAGAAGUUAAUCAAGUCAAGUUGAAGUAGAAAAAAAAAAAUCAAAACUCAAGUACUCAUCGAACCUUAUCAAAUAGUGUAUUUAUAAUAUAAUUUUUAAUUAUUUAUUAUAAAAUUCACUAAAAAUCGAGGUUGAAAAACUUGAUUCAACUCGAUUAAAAUCGAUUGAGCUUGAUUAGUUCGAGUUUGAGUAAGGUAAAAUAAGCUCAAACCUUAUUGAAUAGUGAAAUUAUAAUACAAUUUUAAUUAUUUAUUAUAAAAUUAUAAAAUUCACUAAAAAAUCGAGGUUGAAAACUCGAUUGAACUCGAUUGUGCUUGAUUAGUUCGAGUAAGAUAAAAUAAGCUCAAACUCAACCUCGAGCUCAAGUUUGAAGAAUCAACGAGCUCGAGCUCUAACAUUUUUACUCGAAUAGAGCUCGGGUAGGCACUAUUCAAAUUCGACUUGAUUCGAUAAAAGCACUACUAUUAAGGUUUGGAGUUGCUCUUGAACCAACAUUAAUACAUAGAUGAUUUUAAGAAAAAAAAAGGUCUCUCGGAUGCUUUGGGUUGUGGGCCUUCUAUUGGGUAUUUUGCACUUAGGCCUGUUAGUUGGCCUGUGUUUGGUGGUGUUUCGAAGCUAAAACUUGUGCCAAAUGCCCAUCAAGAUGAACCAUGCGACCUUCACCGUGAGUUCAGCAUCCUUCUUUUUCUUCUCCUUUUCUUCUUUGUUGCUGCGACUUUUUACGUGUACCAUUCCGCAAAAGAAUUUUUUUCCUCUUCUUUGAUUUUUUUUGGAUUGUUCUCCAUAUUAUAUAUCUAAUCUAUACAAUGUAUGUACACCUACCAAAUUUAAAUUAACAAAAAGUUUGGCUGAUGAGUGCCCUAAGGUACUCGUUAAGGGAUGAUUGAUGUGCUAAUUUAUUAUAGGGUAAAAAACAAAAAAUCCUGUGAUAAACCCAAUAUAUAGAAAAGUCCUCUGUAGUUUCAAAACGUACAACAUGACAUCUUAUGUUUUGAACUAAAUUGUAAAGAUGACGGAAUCCGUUAAAAUUAACGGAACGGAUAAAAUGAUAAAAAUGCCAUGAUAUAACUAAGCAAAAGACAGUUCAACAAAAUCAUUUGUUUCAUUCUCUAGAAAGAGAAUUGGAGGCUAAGGAGUAGAACAGUUAGAUUUGUUUCAUUCUCAAGUGUAGAGUGCUUAUGAAUUUAUAUGGUAAGUUAGAUAUAAAUUUAGGAGUACAAACGAUACAAGCACCUAGUAGAAAAUGUACUAGAAAAACUAAAGGGUCUUUUUGAAUUAGCUUGUUUUUAAGCACAAAAACCAUGAUAACACCCAAAAAAAAAAAAAAAACAUCAAAAAGCACACCAAAAACUCCAAAAAAAGAAAAAAAUCAUAGCACCAUUCUACUACCUUAUCACGCUUCUUGCUCAACCAUCAACUUAUGUUAGAAAUAUGAUGAGAAGUUUUCACGCCCAUACGUAACAUAUCGAGAAGAAGGUAUUGAAGAGUCGGUAUACGUUGCAAUGAGUAAUGUUUCUGGAGGAUUUUACAUGCUACUCUGGCAGUUCCUUGUUUGGCCCAUGGCACUGAUAGAAAUAAAUUCCGCCUUUUUCUGACUAACGAGAAAACAAAAUUGUCAUCUAUCAAAAGAAGAGAAAAAGAGGCUGGAGAAGAAACCAAAUUAAGAAGUCUGAAAUUUAUGGAGCCCAAUAAGCAAGAAAAUGUCUGCGUGCAUGCAUUUGCUUGACAGCCGCGACUGGCCAUCCUUUUAUUACUUCAUGCAUUUGUUCUUUUUUCCUUUUUACUCUUUUGAAGUAGCAUAUGAUUAAAUUUUUUACCAUUAGAAAUGAUUUUAUAUACGCAUUCCCAGCCUGAACUGGUCUACUUGACGCACCUUGCAAAUUGUUGAACUUCUGUUUCUCUUACUUGAGACACGUACAUGCGUCGCCAGUAGUUUUGAAAUCAUUAGCCUUUGAACGAGCAGGUAUGGAUUUUGUCGUUCUUCGCAGCUAUUGAUUUAUUUAAAAAUGAAUAUAUGGGCAGUAAUGAAUAGGUAGGGUUGGCAAAAAAACCUCCAAAAUCCAAUAGUCCGCCCAUCUCACCCGUUAAUUUUAAAGGAUGGGUUGAAUUAGUUGGGUUAUAAAUUUUAUUGGGUUGGGUAAGAACAAUUUAACUUAUUCAUUGAGCGGGUUGAAUUUUUAUUUGAGCAUCCAAUACUCAAUCUAUUUAAAAAUAAUUUAAAACAAUAAAUACAAGAUUCAACACACAUAUGCCUAAUCACUUGCAUUUGGACAUGUGUUAACAGUUCAUUAACCAAUUUGUAUUCAAAAUUCUCAUAUAUAUAUAUAUAUAUAUGUUUUAAAUCAAUUUUUUUAAUUUUUAUUUAAAGAAAAUAGAAAUUUGAAAUAAAAACCCAUGCUUAUUUUACUUUUACAACAGUAGUCAAACUUGUUCAACAUCCAUAAUAAUUUAUUAUGACUUUUAAGCGUGUGUUGUUUUCAUCCUUUUUUUUUUCUUUUUUUGGUUGUUAUUCUCCUAUUGCUACUUGCUUCUAUUUGUUAAAAUUUCGUAUAUCUAGAAUAGAGUUUUAAAUUUGUUCUAAUUGCAUUCUUUCUUUUACUUUUCUCUGACUUGUUUUAUUUCAUUGUUAAUAAUUUCUCAUCAAUAUUAUAAUACAACAAAUUAUAUGUCUCUUAAUUAAAUUUUCAAGCAUAAUAUAAUCUAGCAUUCAAUAAUUUAAAUACAUAGAAUAUUACAAGUUACAAUAAAGUAGAUAUAAAUAGUAAAAGUGUUAAAUAAGUUGUGACUAGAAUAAGUUUCAAUCAAUUUGUAGUAUUAAAAAGUAUGAAGUAAACAAUUUUUUUAGCUAAUCUAUUUAAAUGUACAAUUUAUUAUCUAAAAUUUGCAAUACAAGCAACAUAAUAAUAUUAUUCUAUUUAUGAUAUGUUUCCAAGGAGCUUAAGAAGUGAGUGUAUGUUCGUGUGUGUGAAAGUAUAGUUAUGUAUGUGAAAAAAAUCUUUUUGUGCGCAUCAAUGUAUAAGAGAGAGUUUAUGUAUUAUCACAAUGUAUUAAUUAAUAGGUUAGGUUAUAUAUUUGGAUCAUGAAUUUGAGAUGAUCUAAUAUAACUCAACCAAAAAUCAACCCAAUCUAAAAUUGAAUGGGUUAAAUAUAAUCUAUUUAAGUGAAAAUUCAAUAUUAACCAUCAAUCCAUCCCAAGUGCCAACUACCUAAAAUCCAAGUGCCAGCAGGGAGCUCAACUGUGACCAUAUGCGAUAGUAUCCUGUAGGUCACCAGUUUGAACUAGGGCUGAUGCUGAAUCGAAUAGCUUGACUCGAGCUCGAGUUGCUUGGUAGAAGCAACGAGUCAAGCUUGAGUUUCAAUAUUUUGCACUCGAAAGCUUGACGAGCUUAAUCGAGCUUUUUAUAAUAUAUAUUUUAAUUUUUAUUAUUAUGAAAUGUCAAUAAUAUCUUUUAUUUAAAAUUAUAUAUAAACUAUUAAUUUUAAUUAAUUGAGCUUGAUUAGGCUUGAUUGAACUCGAAUAAGCUCGAUUGAGUUUGAUUUGAAUUGAUUACAUUUAAUUAAACUCGAGCUCGAGUAACAUAAAUUGAUGUCGAGUUCGAGUUCGAGCUCGAAUUUUAAAAGCUCGACAAGCUCGAGCUCGAUCUCGAACUUAGUUAUUUAACAUCGAUCGAGCUCGAGUAGCGCACUACUCGAGCUCUACUCGAUCUGAACGCAACCCUAAUUCGAACUUUGCUGUGCAUCCUUGGGGGGGCUCUGUACAGCCUCAGGGAUUAGUCCGGCAAAAAUGCUGGGAUACCCCCUUGUGACAAAAAAAAAAAAAAAAAAAAAAAGGGUACCGCAACAAAUCUUAAAACAAGACGACAUAAAAGGUCCCCACAAUUCCCAGAAAUAUUUAUCAUCAAUUCAUCAUCCUCAACUUGGAUUUAAGGUUUAAGGAUCUUUGUCAACUCGGCUCGGGUACAAGGCCAGGAAUCAACGCAAGGCAUUAAAUACAAUUAACUUCAUUUCCAUCAUCAUCUUCCCGAAUUCAUCAUUCAAAGUUCAAACCUGAAAGCCAUUCACUAUCAUGCGAUAAGUCCAAUUACAUCCAACAGUUUACAAAUAAAAAAAAAAAAAUCAACCAACCUAAUAGAAUAUUACAAGCAACUUUGAAUUGAAAAAAAAAAAGAACAGAAAAGGAAAGUACAACCAAACACUUAAAACCAAUGCUAAAAAGUUAAUGGGCUAACGAAUGGCUAAUGGGCUAAUGCUGGCAAAAGAACUGAGAUGUAUAUACAUCAUGAUAUGGAAUACAGCUUGUUCUAAUUAUAGUAUAGUGUAUGAGUUCAAGUCCAUUACACAAACAUGCUAAAGAAAAGAAAAGAUAAAAGAUGUAACGUUGAUUGAUUAAAAAAUUUGAAGCUUAUAAUUAGAGUAAAUUUUAUAUAUACUGUUAUAGUGUAUAUACUAUCAUGAUUCGAUGGAUGAUACAUGAGUAAAUUUUAAAUUUUAAAUUCAAAAUUUGCACAUGUGUCAUAUAUCUAAUGGGGAUAGUAUAAAUAAGAUUAAUCGUAAAUAUUAAGACAAGCUCUGAUAUUAGUGGGUUAACAACUACUUGACUUUAUCAGAUUUUCUCUCCUUACCUGGUUCAAUUGAAAAAGAAGAAGAAGAAGAAGGAAUAAACAUGUUGAUAGCCGUCAAGACCAAAAGGUGAAAAUUUCUCAGAGGAAAGAUCAAGAUUAAACUUUAAAUUAAAAGAAAUCAUCAAAACAAGGAGAUAGAAAAAUGAAUCGAAAUUAAUUAGCAUUAAGAUGAAAAACGAACAGAUUAAAAUCUUAAUAAGGGGAAAAAUAAAUGUUGAAUGAACCAAGAUUCCAAAUUUAGCAAAAGAAAAUAGUCUUCACCACCUUAUCCACUUGCCGGUUCGAGAUUAGAUUGCAAAUCGAGAACUUGUGGAGUUAUGGAAACAUAGAUUGAACCUGAAGAAUGGGAAAAAAAUUCUUUGAAGGUGCUGAAGCCAAAGGAAGAGAAAGGGACUAAUGGAGAGAGAAGAGAGAGAGAGAGAGAGAGAGAGAGAGGAGAGUGACGGCUCAACUGUGUUGAUCAUUGGGGUUUCGUCAUUGUCUCGGACCCUUCCGAUACGAUAUCGGAAUGAUACGAUUUUGAGAUACUUGCCACACUGAACAUUACCGUGAAGGGUUGAAAUGGCGAGGUCACACCGAAUCACUUCGAAUCAUCCCAAGUUAACUUAAAUUUUUAUUAUUUUUACUAAUUUUUAAAUUAUUUUUAUUUAUAAUAUUUUUUACAAUUUUUAGAAUAUUAAAUAUUUCAAAAAUUUGCGUUUUGACAAAACCGCGACUGAUAUGCCGAAAUCGAUGUGAAACGGUCCGGACCACGAUCGCGACUUUGAGCCAUGGUUAUGAUAGGUUUCGUUUAGUUUGUAAGAAACUCAAAAACCGUUGGUUAAUGGUUCAUCCGGUUUUUAUCGGUUCAAAAGGUUUGAUGGGUUAUUAACGGCCUCAUAUUGUCUAACGGAUUUAGCAUUCAAUCGGAUCGUCCGAAGGCCGAUUCACAGUUGACCGAAUCAACCGAUUCGAUCUGGGUUUAAAAACAAUCUCCAUCCCGCAUCUUCUCCACUUGCCAAGAUUGCGGACGAGGGCCUGGACGGUUGUCUCUUGACAACCGUCCCAGAUAGUUCACGGCUUGGAUGAGGCCUCAAAAAUUUGUGCGGCUCAGAUUACGUCUUGUAACUCGAUUUUCACGUAGUGUGGGACCCACAAAAAUGUUGUUCUAAUGUUACUCGCUGUUGUUUUAUUGUUACACCUUGUACAGAUGAUAUCACACCAUAUACAAAUGAUGUUACACCUUCCGGAGCGGUUAUUCUGACAACCGCUCCAGCCUCGCGUCCCAAGAUUGCACACAAGUCAGGUCUGCCAGCGGUCUUCGAAAGUGGUGGAGCCCAAAAUUAGGAAAAAAAUGGCCUCAAUUUUGCUGUCGGUUGCCUAAUUGGACUGCAGGUUUCUUCACAUAUUGCACCGGCCUUUCCAUCCUUAUCCGACCUUUAUAUUCAAAAUAUCUCCAAAAUAAUAAAGCCAGCGCAAAUGGAUACUUAAAAUCUCUUUAUCCAAUCACCACUUGCGCAGUUACCCCGGCUUAAAGUCAUAUAAACAUGCUGCCCUGCUGAUGGAGGUAUCCAGAGAGAGUAAAAUAUUAAAGUCUAGAGUGUAAAACAAUAGGGGGAAGGAAGGAAGAAGGUUUAUGGAUACUAUAGUGUCUUCCCUUGUAAUCUCUUUUGUCAUCUGGGUAUGUAUCUAUGUGCUCGCUUCAAAUUCAAGGCCCCGGAAAUCAGCAGCCAGACUCCCUCCGGGGCCUUAUUCAUUUCCAAUCAUCGGUAAUCUCCAUCAGCUUGGUAAAAAGCCCCAUCAAUCAUUUGCCAAAUUAUCCAGAACUUAUGGACCUCUGAUGUCUCUUAAGCUAGGGAGCAAAACAACCAUACUUGUAUCAUCUGCAACUGUUGCAAGAGAAGUGCUACAAAAGUAUGACCGGAUGUUUUCAAGCCGAGCAAUCCCCACUGCAGUUCAAGCACUCGAUCACCACAAGUUCUCUUUGGUCUGGCUGCCACCUUCCAGCCAAUGGCGGAACAUGAGCAAGAUGUGCAAAGAUAAUAUUUUUGCAACACCAAGGCUCGAUGCUAACCAAGGCCUUCGUCAAGAAAAGCUUCAAGAAUUACGUGAUUAUUUGCGUCGGUCUAGCCAUAGCAGGAAAGCUGUGAUUGUUGGUGAUGCAGCCUUCACAACAUCUCUUAAUUUGAUAUCAAGGACUCUAUUUUCUAAAGAUUUUGCCAACUAUGACUCUGACUCGUCUCAAGAACUCAAAAGAGAUUGUGUGGGGGUGAUGAAAGCUGCUGGCGCUCCUAAUCUCUCAGAUUACUUUCCAGUUCUACAGAUGAUUGAUCCUCAGGGAAUCAUGAGGGACAGCAAGUUCUAUUUCCAGAAGUUGUUUGAUAUUUCUGAUGAUAUCAUUAAUGAACGGCUACAGGUCAGAGGUACAUCAGAGGCUAAGAAGAAUGAUCUGUUGGAAGCACUGCUGGAUCAUAGCAUAAAGAAUGAGUUUGAGUUCGGCCGCAAUGAUCUCAAACAUUUGCUUUUGGUAAGUGUUAACCUGAUCACCUUUAUAAGCUAGUUGGUUAUAAAUUUACAUGGCUAAAAACUUUGUCAAUGUAUAAUUAAUUUCUUGUCCUUCCGUUGACCCUGGGGCUGAUUCUGUGCAUUAAUAUUAUAGUCGAUGGGAAGUUUUGCUCGACUGAUUCUCUUAAGAAAUUAAAUGGCAACCUCUGACAUUGAUUGUCAUGAAAAUUUAUCAUUUGGUAAAAUGCUGAAAAUUAAUGAUAUCCUCUAGCUAUAGAAUGACUGCUAUAACAUGGCUUGUAGGGUACUUAACUUGUAAAGUGCAGGGCAGAAAUAUAGGUUGGAACUUGGAAUAGAAUUGAAUCUUUAGUGGAAAUCUUCAACUUUGCACGAUAAUCUCACAUCAUAUGGCAGGAAUUAGGAAAUCUGUUGGCUUGACAUCAUUCUAAGUAUGGUUUCUACCAGGAGCUAAUUGUGGCAGGAACAGAAACUAAUUCAACCACUGUGGAGUGGGCUAUGGCAGAGUUACUACGCAGCCCUGAUAAGAUUGCUAAAGCUAAAGCCGAGCUCAAGGAAGUCAUUGGACAGAAGGAAGUAGUCCAAGAAUCAGAUAUCUCGAGGCUCCCUUACUUGCAAGCGGUAAUCAAAGAAACUUUUCGGCUACACCCCGCAGGACCAUUGCUUGUUCCUCGCAAAGCUAAUGAUGAUGUAGAAAUCAACGGUUACAUAGUGCCAAAGAACACACAAGUACUUGUCAACGUGUGGGCUUCGGGUAGAGAUCCCACAACAUGGUCAGAUCCUAAGAUUUUUGAGCCAAAGCGAUUUUUAGGCAGUGAAAUUGAUGUGAGAGGCCAGCAUUUCGAGCUCAUCCCCUUUGGUGCAGGGAGGAGAAUAUGUCCUGGAUUGCCUCUGGCUUAUCGAAUGGUGCAUUUGAUGCUAGCUGCUUUCAUUCACAACAUUGACUGGAAGCUUGAAGAGGGAAUGAAACCAGAAGAUUUGGACAUGGAUGAAAAAUUUGGGCUGUCAGUUCACAAGGCUUUGCCUCUGGAGGCUAUUCCAGUUAAGCUAUGAGUGCAAUCCAAUAAUUUGUAGGCCUAAUCAUUUCAGAUGAUUAGAAUUGAGAUUGUUGCGUGUUUUGUAUGUAAAAUCUUUAACUAGAACACUGAAACGUUCGAUCCCUUCACAUGUAGCGCGUAUAUGACCAAGAAAACCACCUAAGUGGUCAAAUUUUAAUGCCAAGGAUGUUGGUAACAAUUGUUUUCAAUAAAUAAAAAAAAAGAAGAAGAAAGCCUCUCAAAGCACCUGCAAAUAUUUCAAAAAAGGCCAAGUCAAGUUGGAAGAACAAUAAUAUACUCUAGAUGGCUGUUGACAUCAACGACUUUUUAAUUCCUUGGGAACAAAAACUCUUUAAACAGCCAUUGAAUUGUAAAGUGGAAAAAAUACAAAAUGGGACAUCACCCCAAAAUGUCAAAAACAAAAUAAGAAAAGCAGAGACAGGGGUUACAGACUCCAAAAAGUCAAUAUGGUAGCCUGAUUAAUAUUUCCAGCUAAAUCCAGUUGAGGUAGCCUGAUUAGUAUGUCUAGCUAAAUCCAGCUUUCCAACAGUCACAGCUCAAGCAGAAAUAUUUAAGUACUCAGGGUAAUUUGCGCUGAUAAAGAGGCGGAGCACCAAGAGCUUCCCGUUCUCCUCUCUCCACUUUACCUAUUCAAUAGGGAUAAUUUCAGAAAGAGCAAAUUACCUGGAUGACUACCAAACUUUUAGAAUCGUUGAGUUUUGACCAUUGAACUAUUAAAAAUCUGGUUUUAACCACUGAAUUAUCUAAAGUUUAGAUAUCGAGUCAUUCUGUUAGAUUUAAUCAUUAAACAUGACAGAUUUGAGUGUUCGCACGAUUUAAGAGACAAAAGAAAGAGGUAUAGUUAAUGAUUAAAUAUGACGGAAUGACAAAAAAUUUAAACAUUAGAUAGUUUAGUGAUCAAAACCAAACUUUUAAUAGUUCAGUGGUUAAAACUCAACGAUUUCAAAAGUUCAAUGGUCAUCCGAAUAAUUUGCUCUUUCAGAAACCUCCCCUGAAGUUUCUGAGAGUCUCACUACCCUCCUUUGAGGUUUCUAAAAUAUCAGAAACCUCUUCUAUUAUGUCAUUGGGGUCCAAUUGUUACAUCAAACAUGGAGAAAUGACUUAAUUACCCACACAACUUAAGAGAUAUUUCACAAUUAUGUUCACAUGAUUAGUUAAAUUGUUAUUAACUAGUUAUCUAUUUGGCAAACAAGUUUUUUGCCAAGUUUUUCUCCUACAAGUUUUUUAACCAUCUUAGUUACAAUGGGCAAGAAAAUGUCUGCGUGCAUGCAUUUGCUUCACAGCCGCGACUGGCUAUCCUUUUAUUAGUUCAUGUUUGUUCAUGCAUUUGUUCUUUUUUCCGUUUUACUCUUUUGUAGUAGCUUAUGAUUAAAUUUUUACCAUUAGAAAUGAUUUUAUAUGCGCAUUCCCAGCCUAAACUGCUCUACUUGACGCACCUUGCAAAUUGUUGAAAUUCUGUUAAUGGGCUAAUGCUGGUAAAAGAACUGAGAUGUAUAUACAUCAUGAUAUGAAAUACUGCUUGUUCAAGUAAUAGUAUAGUGGUAUGAGUUCAAGUCCAUUACCCAAACUUGCUAAAGAUAAUAAAAGACAAAAGAUGUAACGUUGAUUGAUUAGAAAAAUUUGUAGCUUAAUAUUGGAGUAAAUUUUGCACAUACUAUUAGUGUAUAUACUAUCACGAUUAGAUGAAUGAUACAUGAAUAAAUUUUAAAUUUCUAAUUCAAAAUUUGUACAUGUGUCAUAUAUCUAAUGGUGUAUCUAAUGGUGUAUAGGAGAUUAAUCAUAAAUAUUAAGACAAGCUCUGAUAUUAGUGGGUUGACUUUAUCAGAUUUUUUCUCCUUGUCUGGUUCAAUUGAAAAAAAAAGAAGAAGAAGAAGAAGAAGGAAUAAACAUGUUGAUAGCCGUCAAGACCAGACGGUGAAAAUUUCUUAACGAAAGAUCAAGAUUAAACUUUACAUUAAAAAAAAAUCAUCAAAACAAGGAGAUAGAAAAAUGAAUGGAAAUUAAUUCGCAUUAAGACGAAAAACGAACAGAUUAAAAUCUUAAUAAGGGUUAAAAAAAUGAAUGUUGAAUGAACCGAGAUCCCAAAUUGGCAAAAGAAAAUAGAGUUUUCACCACCUUAUCCACUUGCCGGUUCGAGAUUAGAUUGCAAAUCGAGAACUUUUGGAGUUAUGGAAUCAUAGAUUGAACCUGAAGAAUGGGAAAAAAAUUCUUUGAAGGUACUGAAGCCAAAGGAAGAGAAAGAGAAUAUGGGGAGAGAGAGAGGAAAGCGACGGCUCCACUGUUGAUCGUUGGGCUUUGUGGUUAUGAGACACGGGAUCCUCAGUGCCACUUUUCCGGUGGCAAUUCAGUGCCACUUUUAUAGUUAUGUCAAGUGUCCUGUUUAUGUAAUUUGUCAUGUGCUAUUUAUUUAAAUUUCUUCUAUUAUCACGUGAUAAGUGGGAUUGACACUGAAUUUGGUACCGACUAGUGAUAUAGAGAAUCUUAACUAAUGGUUAUGAUAGGUUUCAUUUAGUUUGUAGGAAACUCAAAAACCGUUGGUUAAUGGUUCGUCCGAUUUUUAUCGGUUCAAAAGGUUUGAUUGAUUAUUGACGGCUUUAUAUUACUCAAUGGAUGUAGCAUUCAAUCGGAUCAUAGCACUAGCGGAGCAAAAAAAAAUUCUCAGUGAGAGCAAAAGUAACACUAAAAUUUUUUACCUAUUCUUUUCCUAAUUUUUUAAGUAAAAAAAUAUUCAUCAACAAGUUAAAAUGAAAAGUCUUUUUAAGCUCACUUUAAAUGAAACUUUGUGGCUUACAUAUUUUUUUAGAAUAUUAGUUCAUGAACUAACUUAAAGGACCACGUAAUUCUUUCGUUUCCUUCAUAAGAAAAAUCUGAGAGCAUACUUAAAAUUAUAUCAAAAUUCUAUGAAUACUAUAGGAAUUUAAGGAGAGCAGUGGGGACCCGUGCCCCUGGUGCCCCCACCUUAAAUCCGCCACUAGAUCAGAGUUAAGGUAAAUUCACAGUUCAAUCGAUCGAAUCGACCGAUGCAAUCCGAUUUCAAAAACACUCUCCAUACCCCAUCUUCUCCACCUAGCUAGAUUGUACCCAAGUCAGGUCUGCCAGUGGUCUUCGAAAGUGGUGGAGCCCAAACUUAGGAAAAAAAGGCCUCAAUUUGUGCUGUUGGUUGCCUAAUUGGACUGCAGGUUUCUACACAUAUUGCACCGGCCUUUCCAUCCUUAUCCGAUCUUUAUAUUCAAAAUAUCUCUACAAUAAUAAAGCCAGCGCAAAUGGACACUCAAAAUCUCUUUAUCCAAUCAGUAGGGAUGGCAACGGGACGAGGUUGGAGCGGGGGAUCCCUCCCCAUCCCUCGCCCCGUCUCUCGUUUCUCGCUCACCCCGCCCCGCACCCGCAGGGUAAAUAAAAAUUUGUUAUAUAAUUUUAUUAUAGUUAAAAUUUAGCAAAUAAUCAAGUACUAAAAUAUCAAAACAUUAUCAAAUUAUUAUUUAUUAUAAUUUCACAAUUGAAACUUAUAAAAACAAUCAAACAAAAGUUAUUUGAAUACAAUCCAACAUGAUAAAAUAAAUACAACUAAAGUAGUCAAGUUUUCACUUUUUGCACAAAUACAAUCACUAAUUCAUUAUUAUACUUGUGCUUUUUUUUUUGAAAAAAAAUGUUAUUGUAUUAAGCGUAACUAGGAAAUUAGUAUAAAUGUAUUAGUAAAUUUAAUAUAACUAAUUAAUAAUUUGUAUUAGUACACAUAUAUAAUUAUUAGUAUAAUUGAUAAUAUCAAUUAUAUUACAUAUACUAAUAUAUAUUAUAUAAUACAUAUAACUAAUAAUAUCAUUAUCAUAAGUUUGUAACUAAUUAAAUUAUAUAUUAUAUACAAUUAUAUACAUAUUAUAUAUAUAUAUUUAAAGCGGGUGGCGGGCCGGAGAUAGGGCGGAGGUACACUUCCCGCCCCCGCCCCGUUUCUAAGCGCCUCAUCCCACCCCCGCCCCAUUAGACCCCGCGGGGCGGGUUGCCAUCCUUGCCAAUCACCAUUUGCGCAGUUAGUCAGUUACCCCAGUUUGCAGUCGUAAAAACAUGUUGCCCUGCUGAUGGAUCCAGAGAGAGUAAAAUAUUGGAAGUCCAGAGGGUAAAACAAUAGGGGGAAGGAAGGAAGAAAGAAAGGCUUAUGGAUACUACAGUGUCUUACCUUGUGCUCUAUUUUGUCAUCUGGGCAUGCAUCUAUGUGCUCACUUCAAAUUUAAGAUCUCGGAAAUCAGCAACCAGACUCCCUCCGGGGCCUUAUUCAUUUCCAAUCAUCGGAAAUCUCCAUCAGCUUGGUAAAAAGCCCCAUCAAUCAUUUGCCAAAUUAUCCAGAACUUAUGGACCUCUGAUGUCUCUUAAGCUAGGGAGCAAAACAACCAUACUUGUAUCAUCUGCAACUGUUGCAAGAGAAGUGCUACAGAAGUAUGACCGGAUGUUUUCAAGCCGAGCAAUCCCCACUGCAGCUCAAGCACUCGAUCACCACAAGUUCUCUUGGUCUGGCUGCCACCUUCCAGCCAAUGGCGGAACAUGCGCAAGAUGUGCAAAGAGAAUAUUUUUGCAACACCAAGGCUCGAUGCUAACCAAGGCCUUCGUCAAGAAAAGCUUGAAGAAUUACGCGAUUAUUUGCAUAGGUCUAGCCUUAGCAGGAAAGCUGUGAAUGUUGGUGAUGCAGCCUUCACAACUCCUCUUAACUUGAUGUCAAGGACUCUAUUCUCUAAAGAUUUUGCCAACUAUGGCUCUGAUUCGUCUCAAAAACUCAAAGAGAUUGUGUGGGGGGCAUGGUUCAAAGUCGCUGUUGUGGUUGCGGUCGUUGUCUGACUGUUUCACAUCGGUCUCGGUCUCGGCGAGACGUGAAUUUUUAAAAUAUUUAAUAUUAUAAAAAUGGUAAAAAAUAUGAUAAACAAAAAUAAUUAAAAAAUUAGUAAAAAAAAUAAAAAUUCGAGUUGAUUCGGAGUGAUUCGGUAUUAUUUGGCCGUUUCAACCCUUCACGGUGACGUUUCGGCGAGUCAAGUAUCUCGAAAUCGUAUCGUUCCGAUAUCAUAUCAGAAUGGCUGAGACGGUGACGACUCGGCUGAGUCGUCUCAGACACGGCCAAGUCUUUGAAACUCGGGGUGAUGAAAACUGCUAACGGUCCUGAUCUCUCAUAUUACUUUCCAGUUCUACAGAUGAUUGAUCCCCAGGGAAUCAUGAGGGACAGCAAGUUCUAUUUCCAGAAGUUGUUUGAAAUCUUUGAUGAUAUCAUUGAUGAACGGGUACAAGUCAGAGGUUCAUCAAAGACGAAGAAAAAUGAUCUGUUGGAAACACUGUUGGAUCAUAGCAUAAGGAAUGUGUUUGAGUUUGGCAGAAAUGAUCUCAAACAUUUGCUUUUGGUAAGUGUUAACCUGAUCACCUUUAAUAAGCUAGUUGGUUAUAAACAUACGUGUCUAAAACCUUUGUCUAUGUAUAAUUAAUUUCAUGUCGUUCCGCCUGGGACUGAUUCUGUGCAUUAAUAUUAUAGUGGAUAGGAAGUUUUGCUCCACUGAUUCUCUUAAGAAAAUAAAUGGCAACCUCCCAUUGAUAGUCAUGAAAAUUUACCAUUCGGUUAAAUGCUGAAAAUUAAUGAUAUCUUCUACGUGUAGAAUGACUGCUAAUACAUGGCUUGCAAGGUACUUAAGACUAGUAAAAGUGCAUGGCAGAAAUAUAGGUUGGAAUAGAAUUUAAUCUUUAGUGGAAAUCUUCAACUUUGCAUGAUAAUCUCACAUCAUAUGGGCAGGAAUUAGGAAAUCUGUUGGCUUGACAUCGAUCUUAUUGUGGUUUCUACCAGGAUCUAUUUGUGGCAGGAACAGACACCACUGCCGCCGCUGUGGAGAGGACAAUGUCAGAGUUAUUACGCAACCCUGAUAAAUUGCUAAAGCUGGAGCAGAGCUCAAGGAAGUCAUUGGACAGAAGGAAGUAGUCCAAGAAUCAGAUAUCUCAAGGCUCCCUUACUUGCAAGCGGUAAUCAAAGAAACUUUUCGCUACACCCCGCAGGACCAUUACUUGCUCCUCACAAAGCUAAUGAUGAUGUAGAAAUCAAUGGUUACAUGGUGCCAAAGAACACACAAGUACUUGUCAACGUGUGGGCUUUGGGUAGAGAUCCGGCAACAUGGUCAGAUCCUGAGAUUUUUGAGCCAGAGCGAUUUUUAGGCAGUGAAAUUGAUGUGAGAGGCCAGCAUUUCAAGCUCAUCCCCUUUGGUGCAGGGAGGAGGAUAUGCCCUGGAUUGCCUCUGGCUUAUCGAAUGGUGCAUUUGAUGCUAGCUGCUUUCAUUCACAACAUUGACUGGAAACUUGAAAGAGAAAUUUCUAAAAUUAUGAUGAAUUUUAAAAAAUUCUACAAAUGAGGCAUUUUGAGUAUCGGAUUCCGCCCAAGGAGCUCGCAUUUUCUGAAUCUGAAGUCCCCUUGAAUUUUCAACCAAAAAAUGCGAGGUCUGUUACGUCGCAUUUAAGAGAUGCGAGGUCACUUACCUCGCAUUUAACAAAUGUGAGGUCAGUGACCUCUCAUUUCUUAACAGACAAUCGCAUUUCACUCUAUUUGUUUGGAAGAAUGAUUAAACGAACUCUGCAAUAGCUUAGUUUGUUUCAGGGGCUGCUUGGUUAAAAGGUUUGGGAAUCAAAUAAUGGAAUGAACCCCUUAUUUGUUGCUUGGGUUAAGUCUAUUGGAAUGCAAUUUCUGGAAUCAUUUCUAAAAAAUCGGACUUUCACCAUUCCUGAGUAAAUUGGGAGGUUUUGGACAAAACCCUCAACUCAUUCCCGAGCAAAAACAUUUAUGACGAACCUACCCUCUUUUUUUCUUCAUUACACGCCGCUUCUGUUCUUCUUCUUCAUCAGAUUUUCUACCUCUUCUACUUCACCGGUUGGACAACCAUAAAGAUCAGUGGCUUUCGACUCUCCUUGGACAACGAAUUCUAGAGUUGAAGAGUCUUCUACUAGGGUGAAUUCCUUGAUCCCAGGUCAGUGGAUUACAAACUCCCUUGCCUCUGCAAUUUUCUUUUCGUAUGCAAGCUUUUCUCUUUCUUCUUCUCUGUUUUUUCAGGCUACUCACUGGGUAGCUGAAAAUAAAGAAGAAAAGAAGGGAAUCUGAUACAAUAACACUAACUGGACCAAAAUGCUAUGCUCUGGACCCAUCACCUUCUCACUUUUAUUCCACUCACGCUACACAAUCUGUCAGUUUUGCAAAAAAGUCUUCCUUCCAUGAAUUCAUAUUCUUUUGUCACAAAAUCCAAUAAGAAAUUAUUUCCAUUGGUGAGAAUAAUACAUGUUUUUAAUCCAUGUAUUUUGUUGUAAUACAUGUAUUUUAAUUCACUUACUUCAACAAAUACAUUAUUUUGUUCUUUUUUUUGGUGAGAUAAAUGUUAAUGUCACUAGAUUUGUCAUUUUUAUGUUUUUAAUGUGUUUUCUUGGAUUACGCAUUCAAUGGAGGUCAAUCAAUUCUUGAUCUUUUGGUUAUUUGAUCCGUGAAUACUGGUAUAGUUUGGGUGGGUUUCUACAUGCCCUGUACCUGUUUGUAAAAUUGUCUGCUUGAAUAGCUUUCAGUUUCAUAGUUAUUCGUACAUUAGGAUUUCAAGUUUCAACCAUCAAUUUCGUUUGUUUAUGCUUAUUUAUAUCUAUACAUCAUUGUGUUUACGGAUGUAUGAUGCAUGUCUAGGCCCUUUUAAUAAGAUCAAUUGAUGUUUAAUGCAUUUGAAGAUUUUGAUGCCGUAAUCUAGUUUGGUGAAUACUUACGUUUGGUUGUCAUAUUGUUAUGUAGACAAAGAUGCCACGUUUGCCUAUUGAAAACAGAAGACGCAAAAAAUAUCGAGGGCAAAGCCAGAUUUUAUCAGGAAUGAUAAUGGUUGUUAUUGCACUGUUUAUGAUGUGGUACCAGUUAAUAUUCAUUCAUCUCAAAAGUAGAAGACGCCAAAUAAAAUCAAAAGAAGAAAAAGUCACUGAGCGCAUGCAACACUUAUUCAAUUUGACUAGGGAGAGUGAUGCUUAUUGUAUUAGCGAACUUCGUAUGGAUAGACGAACAUUUGGGAUAUUAUGUGAAAUGAUUAGAGACACUGGAGGUUUGAAAGCUACAAGAAACAUGUCAAUAGAAGAAAUUGUUGCCAUGUUUGUAUAUGUUUUGGCUCACCACAAGAAAAGUAGAACAAUUUGUGGUCUAUUUUGGAGAAGUAGAGAAACGGUGAGUCGUCAAUUUAAUCUUUGCCUCCUAGCAGUUUUGAAAUUGCAUACUAUAUUACUUAAGAAGCCUGAGCCUAUUACCGAAGAUUGCACAGAUGAGAGAUGGAAAUGUUUUAAGGUAAUUCAAACAUUAAAAUACAAUCAUUUAAUAAAAUGUAUGUUUUCAUCUAAACUAUCCAAUAUAGACAUUUUAACUCAUUUAUAUUUUUUAUUUUUGUUAAAAUAGAAUUGUUUAGGUGCCUUAGAUGGGACAUUAAUAGAUGUGACACCACCCACCGAACAAAAAUCAAGAUACCGAACGAGAAAAGGAAGUAUUGCAACGAAUGUAUUAGGGUUUGUUCUCCUAAUAUGCAAUUUAUCUAUGUCUUGCCUGGUUGGGAAGGUUCGGCACAUGAUGGUCGUGUGCUUCGAAAUGCUAUCUCUAGACCAAAUGGUCUUAGAGUCCCACAAGGUAAACAUAAAAACGUCGUCGUGUCUUGCCUUUCCAAUUAAUCCAUGAAAAUCCGCCUUGAGCUCGAUUCUCCCGACAGUGGUUAUGGCGGCCUCGAGUGAACCCAACUCAAGAGAAGACAUCUUCGACUCCUCACUGAAUCUAGAAGAAACCCACCUCAAAGAAGGCUAUAACGAGGGCUACGCCGACGAUUUAGUCUCUGGCGAGGAGGAGGGCCGGCAAGUGGGCUUAAAAACCGGGUUCGAAGUCGGCGAAGAGUUGGGCUUUUACAGGGGUUGUAUUGAUGUAUGGAACUCCGCUAUUCGGGUCGAUUCGAAUUGCUUUUCGUCUCGGGUCGUGAGAAGCAUCAAACAAAUGGAAGAGUUGCUGAACAAGUACCCGAUUUCCAACCCGGAAGAUGAGUCGGUUAGCGAUGUUAUGGACUCUUUGAGGUUGAAGUUUCGGGCUAUUUGUGCCACCUUGAAUGUGAAGUUGGAGUAUAAUGGCUAUCCCAAAUCUUCUGAUGGUGGAAAUAUCCAAUUUUGAGGUUAAUUUUUGCCCCAUUUUUUAGAAUUUUUUGUCAAAUCUUUUGCUUUCCUUUUUUUCCCCUAUGUUUUCAUAAGUAUUGAUCUGAUGGCUUAAUUGGAUUGGCUAAUUGGGAUUCUUUUGCUUCUGUAUAUUGAUUAUGGACAUGUCUUUUGCUACAGUUGGAAACCAGAUUUUUGGAUUUUCUUGGGAUUUAAAGCUCUUUUUGGUUUUUGUGGUUGAUUAACUGGUUGGGUUCAGAAUAGUUUCUAGUUUAAAACUUUUAUUGUCUAAAUUCUGUUUGGUAAUUACAGAUUAGUUGUUAUGUUAUAGAUAUUUUAGGGAAAAUAAUCAGAAAUUUUUAAUAAAGAAAGGUACCAUUCAUGUAUGAAAAUGUACCCAGUUCUGUACAUAAUGUAAAAUAGAUAAAAAUUAUGCCCUCUUCAAUAUAUAUCUUAAAUGGCGUGCCCUUUCCAGCAAUUUUCCCUUUUUUUCCGUCAUAAUUCAUUAUAUUUGUGGGGCUGGUAGCCUCAGAUGAGCGACAAAUAGAAUGCCUUCUGCAGAGGAUUUAGCUGUAAUCUUGCGAAGAAGCUAUAUGAUUGACUAUGCUAGCAAAUAUGCAGUGGAAAGAGGGGAAAGAAGAAGACAUGAAUAUUAACUAGUGAAAAUGUAUGUGUAAUAGAUAAUCUAUUGAGGUGACAGUUAUGCCAAACUGGAAAGACUGUAAAUCCAUAUCUGAAAUUUGAGAUUUUGGUAAAUAGUACUAGGAGUAAUUUUCUAAGCAAGAGGAAUUCAGAAGUCUUUGAGAUUUAUGGAAUUGAGUGUAUCAGAAAAUUGAGAUUGUGGUGAAUAGAACUAGGAGCAAUUAUUUGAUCUGGAGAACUCAAAAUGUCUUUGAGAUUUAUAAAAUUGUCAGCAGACUUGGAGCCAUAUGUUAGCCUGGCUGUUGUGGUGCAUACUAUAAUUUUUGCAUGUCUAUAAGCUGAAAUUUCGACUCUGCUGUCAGCUGAUUCACUUUUUCUAGAUUUUAUUUGCACUUUGAGAAUUUAGGUUUCAGAUUCAUUAUGUAUAGCCAUUUAGGUAACAUGUAAAGAUGAUUACUUUCUUACGUAGAGAAAGCACAUAUACAUUUUUUUAGCUCUUUUUUUUUAAUUUUAUUUUUGGAACUGAGUAAACAUCUUUGUUUUGUGUCUAGGUUGAAGAAAAGGAACUUGGUCACUUUGUGGUGCAGGGGAAGAAGGAAAGUGUUUUUCAAGUGCGUUGGCUUGAGAUCCGAGCUGACUCUACACUUUUCUUUGUGAAAGAAAGGUUUCAUUUUCACACAUGCCUUGAGGAUGGAGGGUGGAGACAAAAGGUUGAUAAAUGACUGUAAGACUGUGAUGCAAAAGAUUGUUGGUGGAGUGCAUGCUGAUAACAGUCAUUAACUUGUCUGUGUUUUGGGCAGGUUUAUAGCAAUUGAGCCAACAAUUAAUUCUUUAAAGUAUAGCUCUAUGUCGGAGAAAUUUUUAUGCUUGUCUUAGCCCUCAUCAGCUUCUCCUGGCUUCAUGAAAGCUUAUUGUCUUGUAGUUUACAUAAAAUUUAUAUUACAAUUGGAGCUAGUGAUGCAUCAUCAAGGGCUUCCGAGGCUGUUCUUUCUGGACCCUGUACAAAGACUGAAGUGUUGGAAAGCUUCUAAAAUGCACCUAUCUUUAGCUGACAUGAUCGACAAGGCUGUUGGAUACCUGUUGUCAGAUGAAAUUUCGUGCAAUUCUUUAUAUUGUGUCUUAUUUCUUGAAUUGCAUGAAGCCUAGGAAGAUUUCACAUGCAAAAAGGAUAAUCCCCCAGUUUGAUAUUUUGGUUGAAACUUAAAAAGGGGGAUGAACAUACAAGAAACCCAUGCAGGCAUAGAUCAAGUCUUCUAGCAAUCAGGAAUGAUGCCUACUGAAUUAGACUAUUCAGCACUGCUAAAAAUGGGAUAUCUCACGAGUAGGCAGGUGAUUUGUGUGGAUAUACUUGGUUGAAUUCUCAUCCUGGCUUUGGCAAUUGCCAAGGCUGCCUGGUGAAAUUGUUGAUUAAUUUGCAACAUGAGACGUGGACAACCCUUUUUGGUUAAUAUGUAGGGAAAGCAAAUAUUGGUUUCUUUGACUUUCAUUAUUGCCAAAAGUUGCCUCCCACCCCAACUGACUGGCCAGGGGAUCGAUCCCUUGACCAGUCAGCGAGAAACUUUCAGCCAAAAGAAGGUUGCGAAAAGGCCAUUGCCUUUUCUAUCAAUGAGGUUGGGAAAAGAUGGUAUUGAAAUUUCCACAUAACAAGUUAGUGCAAUUCUUGCAUACAUUUCAGUAUAACUGAUUUUCACAAUCAAGACCUGAGGUUUACAUGGUCAUACUCCUUGACCCGAAAUUUUGACCAAUAAAGGGUUUUUUUUUUUUUAAUGUUCUGCUUCUGCCAAUAAUACUACGAGACAUUUGUACGAUUCUUCCCCUUCUUCUGAACUUUUCAAUUUGAAUAUGUAUCAUUUUGAUCCCUAAUUUUGCUGCUGAUAGACAUAAUAGUAAGGUAAAUUUGAAAUCCGUGGUUUAACUCUCAAACCAUUCUUUUUCCUCUAUCAUGGUUUGUAAUCUCUCUUUAUAAAAAAAAAAAAAAUCUCUUUUCUUGCCCAAAAUUAAAAAAAAAAAGGGAAAUCAGUCUUUAUGUUACAUAUAGAAAAUGUGUACUACUCGAGAAAACAAAAAUAAUGAUCAUAGAAAAUUCAAAAAGGGAUACAUGAAUGUAAAGUAAAACUAGUGGCUUCCCAAAGUACUGCCAAAAGGGUAAUUCAACUUUUAUCCUGCUCUAAGAAAAUAGGCAAAAAAAUAAUAAAAAGAAAAUAACUAUAGAAAUUCUAAAAUAUCUCUGUGAAAUUCUAAUUUCUUGAUUAUUGGCAAAAACUUGGCACUAUCCAAUCUAUCUAAUGUGUUGCGCGGACAUGGCUGUGCCUGAGUUUUAACUACGUGUAAUGACAUCUUUCUAUGCCACCGAGUUAAUUGCACCAUGUAGGAUUUAACACAUAAAGCAUGCAUGGGUUAAAGGGUUGUGUAUGAGGAAAUGAGAUGAUGUCCACCGGAGCAGCUGCCGUGCUUCAAAAUCCUUAUGCAUUACAAGCUGGAUAUCAGGGGGUGCAGGUGCCCCAAUUCCCCCUCCCAAUUUAUGCCAAUGAGGCCAGCCGGUGUUGGAAUGAGAAUGCAUGGCAUUUUCUUCUUCAACUGCGCUACCUGUGAUGCCAUUCCCCUUGGCUAGUCCUUGUCAAUCAACCCUAGCAGCCUCAGGAACGGGCAAGCUAUUUGUGAUGCACCUAGAAGGUCAGUUAAUUCAUCAUAUACACUUAAAUCUUAGGGGUCCCCAAUAUAACUGUUGCCAGAAAUAUGGCCCUGGUUAAUUUAUUGUGACAAUGAUAGACAUGGCCGGGGCUGGCGUUUGCCAUUUGCAGCGUAAAUUAGCAGCAUGUGCAGCAUAAACUCUGGAGUUAGGCCCUACUAACUAAAUGUAGUCUUGAAGGGUAAAUAUACAGAAGCAUAAGAGUCCCAAUUAGCCAAUUCAAUCAAGCCUCAGAUCAACACUCAGAAAAAAUAGGGAAAAAAAAAAAGAAUUUACAUAAAGAACUAUGUAAAAAAAGGCAAAAAUUAACCUCAAAAUUGGAUAUUUUCUCCAUCAGAAGAUUUGGGAUAGCCAUUAUACUCCAACUUCACAUUCAACGUGGCACAAAUAGCCCGAAACUUCAACCUCAAAGAAUCCAUAACAUCCCCAACGGACUCAUCUUCCGGCUCCGAUAUUGGGUACUUGCUCAGCAACUCUUCCAUUUGUUUGAUGCUUCUUACGACCCGAGACGAAAAGCAAUUUGAAUCGACCUGAAUAGCAGAGUUCCACACAUCAAUACAACCCUUGUAAAAGCCCAACCCUUGUAAAACGUCGUCGUGUCUUGCUUUUCCAAUUAAUCCAUGAAAAUCCGCCUUGAGCUCGAUUCUCCCGACAGUGGUUAUGGCGGCCUCGAGUGAACCCAACUCAAGAGAAGACAUCUUCGACUCCUCACUGAAUCUAGAAGAAACCCACCUCAAAGAAGGCUAUAACGAGGGCUACGCCGACGAUUUAGUCUCUGGCGAGGAGGAGGGCCGGCAAGUGGGCUUAAAAACCGGGUUCGAAGUCGGCGAAGAGUUGGGCUUUUACAGGGGUUGUAUUGAUGUAUGGAACUCCGCUAUUCGGGUCGAUUCGAAUUGCUUUUCGUCUCGGGUCGUGAGAAGCAUCAAACAAAUGGAAGAGUUGCUGAACAAGUACCCGAUUUCCAACCCGGAAGAUGAGUCGGUUAGCGAUGUUAUGGACUCUUUGAGGUUGAAGUUUCGGGCUAUUUGUGCCACCUUGAAUGUGAAGUUGGAGUAUAAUGGCUAUCCCAAAUCUUCUGAUGGUGGAAAUAUCCAAUUUUGAGGUUAAUUUUUGCCCCAUUUUUUAGAAUUUUUUGUCAAAUCUUUUGCUUUCCUUUUUUUCGCCUAUGUUUUCAUAAGUAUUGAUCUGAUGGCUUAAUUGGAUUGGCUAAUUGGGAUUCUUUUGCUUCUGUAUAUUGAUUAUGGACAUGUCUUUUUCUACAGUUGGAAACCAGAUUUUUGGAUUUUCUUGGGAUUUAAAGCUCUUUUUGGUUUUUGUGGUUGAUUAACUGGUUGGGUUCAGAAUAGUUUCUAGUUUAAAACUUUUAUUGUCUAAAUUCUGUUUGGUAACUACAGAUUAGUUGUUAUGUUAUAGAUAUUUUAGGGAAAAUAAUCAGAAAUUUUUAAUAAAGAAAGGUACCAUUCAUGUAUGAAAAUGUACCCAGUUCUGUACAUAAUGUAAUUAAAUAGAUAAAAAUUAUGCCCUCUUCAAUAUAUAUCUUAAAUGGCGUGCCCUUUCCAGCAAUUUUCCUUUUUUUUCCGUCAUAAUUCAUUAUAUUUGUGGGGCUGGUAGCCUCAGAUGAGCGACAAAUAGAAUGCCUUCUGCAGAGGAUUUAGCUGUAAUCUUGCGAAGAAGCUAUAUGAUUGACUAUGCUAGCAAAUAUGCAGUGGAAAGAGGGGAAAGAAGAAGACAUGAAUAUUAACUAGUGAAAAUGUAUGUGUAAUAGAUAAUCUAUUGAGGUGACAGUUAUGCCAAACUGGAAAGACUGUAAAUCCAUAUCUGAAAUUUGAGAUUUUGGUAAAUAGUACUAGGAGUAAUUUUCUAAGCAAGAGGAAUUCAGAAGUCUUUGAGAUUUAUGGAAUUGAGUGUAUCAGAAAAUUGAGAUUGUGGUGAAUAGAACUAGGAGCAAUUAUUUGAUCUGGAGAACUCAAAAUGUCUUUGAGAUUUAUAAAAUUGUCAGCAGACUUGGAGCCAUAUGUUAGCCUGGCUGUUGUGGUGCAUACUAUAAUUUUUGCAUGUCUAUAAGCUGAAAUUUCGACUCUGCUGUCAGCUGAUUCACUUUUUCUAGAUUUUAUUUGCACUUUGAGAAUUUAGGUUUCAGAUUCAUUAUGUAUAGCCAUUUAGGUAACAUGUAAAGAUGAUUACUUUCUUACGUAGAGAAAGCACAUAUACAUUUUUUUAGCUCUUUUUUUUUAAUUUUAUUUUUGGAACUGAGUAAACAUCUUUGUUUUGUGUCUAGGUUGAAGAAAAGGAACUUGGUCACUUUGUGGUGCAGGGGAAGAAGGAAAGUGUUUUUCAAGUGCGUUGGCUUGAGAUCCGAGCUGACUCUACACUUUUCUUUGUGAAAGAAAGGUUUCAUUUUCACACAUGCCUUGAGGAUGGAGGGUGGAGACAAAAGGUUGAUAAAUGACUGUAAGACUGUGAUGCAAAAGAUUGUUGGUGGAGUGCAUGCUGAUAACAGUCAUUAACUUGUCUGUGUUUUGGGCAGGUUUAUAGCAAUUGAGCCAACAAUUAAUUCUUUAAAGUAUAGCUCUAUGUCGGAGAAAUUUUUAUGCUUGUCUUAGCCCUCAUCAGCUUCUCCUGGCUUCAUGAAAGCUUAUUGUCUUGUAGUUUACAUAAAAUUUAUAUUACAAUUGGAGCUAGUGAUGCAUCAUCAAGGGCUUCCGAGACUGUUCUUUCUGGACCCUGUACAAAGACUGAAGUGUUGGAAAGCUUCUAAAAUGCACCUAUCUUUAGCUGACAUGAUCGACAAGGCUGUUGGAUACCUGUUGUUAGGGGUGUGCAAAGUCGAAAAAUUUCGAUUUCGAAAUCGAUUUCGAAUUGAAUUCGGAAGUUCGAAUUCGGAAGUUCGGUAAUUCGGUAGUGAAUUCGGUAUUUCCGAUUUCGAAUAUGUCGAAUUCGGGUCGAAUUCGAAACUAUAAUUUUUGAAAACGGAAUAUCGAAUUCGCACAAUACAUAUAUAAUAUAUAUUAUAAUAUUAUAUAACAUAAAAUAAGUUAAUAAUUGAAAUUAAAAUUGAAAGCCAAAAACCCUAAUCUCUUCAGUUUUCACUUACUCACUAGUCACCUUAGCUCUUCCGCCGCCCUCUUCGGCUCUUCCUCAUCGCCUCUCCGUCACCUUCGUCACCUUCCUCAUCGCCUCAGCCUCUUCAUCACCUUCCUCUUCGUCACCUUCCUCUUCGUCACUGGCAAAGAUUUGGCUUCUCGAAGUAGAGAGUUUGCUCAAGGGAGUGAAGGGACUACUAUAUAAUACUAUCCCUGUCAUCAAGGUCUCCAGCAGGAUCAGAUCCAUGCCCUCAACGAGAUGGAAGGUUCAAGUGAGUACUAGAAGCAAAUCAUAGCAAUUUGGCAAAGAAGUGGUCAGGGAGUUAGCAUCGCUCGCAUCAUCCUUUUCAAAGACUUUGUGCAAUUGUGAAAUUUUGCCUCAUCAGACCACCUUCUGCUGCAACGAAAACUACUUAAUUACACAUACAUUGUCUUGAAAGGUACGUGUGUGCGUGUGUGUGUUUUCCUUGUUAAAAUUUUAUAAGAUGAUGGUGUUAUAUGGGUCACUGGUUCUCUUGUAUUUUUUGCUUUUUGUGUUUAAAGUUAUUGCUGUAAAUGUGGAAGGACAAAAUCCAGAUGCAUUUUGACAGGUAUAAAAGCAGAUUGGCUGCUGGCUACAGUAGCUCCUUAUUAAGGUUCGAGCUUUGCCUAGCAUACAAGGGACUUGAUUUUGGAUUGUGAUUAGCAAGUAACUUUGCUCCCGUAUGUGGAAUGCAUUUCUUUUUUUUUUGUUGGGUCCUUGUUUCUGGAUUGUGUUUCAUGGAAUGGGAUAAUUGCACGAGUACAAGAGAAUGUGUUUCCAACUGUGUGUUGAUCAUAUUACUUCUAUAUAUAUAUAUAUAUAUCAAUCCAACAUGUCAUAAAUGAAGAGAAAAAAAAAUAUCGUGCAGAUUUGGCAAUAGAAAUGUCAAUUUUCAAAGACAAAACUUGAAGAAACGUGACCAUGAAGAAUGAGAUACUUGUUCUGGAAAGAAAUGCUAUAGCAAGCCAAGAAAUUGAUUGUAGAAUAGCUGCAAAGGUAAACAUUUAGUCAGCACACAGAAGACAGAUGUUUAAGUCCAGAAAACAGACAUCAACAAAUAAUGUCUUUCUUAGAAGACUCCUACUUUCUUAUUUCAAGACAUUGAAAUGCAAUAGUAAAAGGGAAAAGGACUCAGUUAAACCUAGAUUCUGGAAAAUUGUUCUUACUGUCAAUAAUCACUUUUAAGGUUCCAAUACUAAAGCUGUGGAUUUGUCAAUGGAUUAAAUUUCAGUUCCAUUCAAGCAUUUAGACAGAAAUGAGGGCAAUAAAAACUUUAAACUAAUUAGGCAAAGAAGAAUAAGGGCCUCCAACUCCUCAUUCCUGUCUUCUUAAGCAAUGAAAUAUUAUACAUAUACAUAUAUAUAUAUAUAUAUAUAUAUAUAUAUAUCCUAUCUUGGCAGAGAAACUAACUAAUGAUGCCAAAGGUUCGACAACAUUUGCUACUUCCCUUUUUGCCCUUUUCUUUCCUCACAUCAGUCACCUCCUAUCUGCAGGCAAUGCGCCUGAUAUCACACUUAUUUGAUAUGGUUUGAGAAGAUGAGUGGACACUACGUAUUGAAAAACAGCAAGGAAGACAAAUAUCGUGCAGUUUUGUCAUGCUAUUCAUCUUGGAUCUGCAACUGGUAGAAAUUGAGAUGCAUGAUGCAUCUAUUGCAUAGGUUGAGCAAAAGGGAAGCUUGAAUCUGAUUUGAGGAACCAAAAAAGAACAAAAGAUCCAAUUUUGAACUAAAUGAGAUAAUUUCAUGUCGAAAUGCUGUUGUUUAAGUUCAUUGCAGACCAAGUCAGUAGCUAGAGUUGGAGUAAUUUUAUUAACAUAACUUAUAAAAUCAAUUCUGUGUAGACUUUUGUGGCAAGGCGGGGAGGGGAUUAGGUUCUUAUUCAUGCAGGACAGAAGCAGUAAUAUUAAAUGCCUUAUUAUUGUUUCUUUUCAUGUAAAUUUCUUUCUAUAGAAUAUUUGAAUUCUCAGUAUGUAAUGGCUUGGGUGAAUUUUGUGAUUGAUGAUUGGAUUUUUUUUUCUUGCAAUUGACUAAAUGGUUGGACUUAAAACUAGUGGUUUGAUUUUUUAACAAGCAGACCUGCAGUUUUAUUGUUAUUUUUUAACAAGCAGACCUGCAGGUAUGCUUUCGAAUUUAUAUCCCUCUUGUGUUCAGAUGAAUCUGAAGUCUCUGAUAUAAUAUUUGUGUCUUUAUUUCGAAGAUCAUGGAAAAAAUUUACUAUGAGAAACAAGUAACAGUUCCACGAUGUGACAUCAUUAGAAACAAACCAAAUGAAUUACCUUGUGGGGGUCUAUCAAAGCUCUAGUAUUGUGUUUCUAUGUACACAGGAGGUGCUGUGGUACUUGUGGUCUUUACCUAAUUUUUAAUAAUCUAAACUUGUGUCCAACAUCUAAACUUAAUUAUUCAAUAUAAUUGCUCUUAGCUUAAUCUCCUAUCAAUUUCUUUUGCAAUAUUCCAGUCUAAACUAAACAAUGCUCUUACUCAAGUGCUUGAGUGUGUCAAUUUUAUUUUGUUAUGAGCGUGAAAAUAGUUUGGAAAACCUGUUGAAAAGAUGUGUAAAAUGGGUUUUGGAUGAGUAGUUCUUACUUUAGUAUAUUAAUUUUUGGCUUUUGGAGAAUGAUGUGUAGUCUAACAAUAACUUUCUGUGCUAAAUUGGAAACAAGUUCUCCAGGAAACUGCAUUAUGUGAUUCAAACUCUCAAUAUUUCUUCAUUUUAUUGUCUAAUCUAUUGCAUAUAUUGGGAAACAUAUCUUCAUUUUAUUUUCAUUUUCUUUUGCAUGUCAGUAAACAUGUCCACUUUUGAGAUGGAAGGUUCAAGUGAUUCAACACCAUCUUCAAGUCCAGCUCAUAUUUCCAACAGCUGUGAAGAAUCUGGUCUUGGUAUUAAGAAGAAGAGAGGCGAGUACAACAAAAGGUCACCAGCUUGGGAUCAUUUUCAGCCUCACUAUGUCCAAGGUGUUCGUCAUGGCAUAUGUAAUUACUGUACGAAAAUGAUAGCUGCUGAUCCGAAGUCUAAUGGUACUAGUCCUCUCUUAUCCCAUGUUAAAUCAUGUGAAACGAAUCCUGCAAAUAAGUCUAAGGGGCAAGGUACAUUAUACUUGGGUGAGGUUGGUGGUCUUGGGGGGGAUGUUAAGAGUGCACUUAUUAGUUGGAAGUAUGACCCUGAUGCAAUUAGAAAAAGCAUUGCUUAUAUGUUGAUUGUUGAUGAAUUGCCAUUCAAACAUGUAGAAGGUAAAGGAUUUCAGCAUGUCAUGAGAACUGCUUGUCCUUCUUUUCAAAUUCCUUCAAGGUGGACAAUUACUAGAGAUUGCUAUCAACUUUAUUUAGAUGAAAAAAUUAAGUUGAAGAAUAUGUUAAGGCGUAGAGCUGUUAGAGUUUGUCUCACCACUGAUUGUUGGACAUCUAUCCAGCGAAUAAAUUAUAUGUGUUUGACAGCACACUUUAUUGACUGUGAUUGGCAAUUGAACAAAAGAAUUUUAAAUUUUUGUCCAAUUAGUAGUCAUAAAGGGACUGAAAUUGGGAAGAGUAUUGAGAAAUGCUUAUUAGAGUGGGGGAUUGAUGAUGUUUUCACAGUAACAGUUGACAAUGCUGCUUCAAAUGACACGGCUGUGCAAUAUUUGGUUGGAAAAUUGCAAAAUUGGGGUAAAUCUAUAUUAGGGGGAAAGUGGAUUCAUAUAAGAUGUGUAGCUCACAUAAUCAAUUUGAUUGUGAGUGAUAGCCUAAAAAAAUUUGGGGGAUCCGUUGAUUCUAUCCGAACAGCUGUGAGAUAUAUUAGACAAUCACCUUCUCGUUUGAAAAAAUUCAAGGAAUGUGCUGAAAUUGAAAAAAUUGACAGUAAAAGGUUACUAAGUUUAGAUGUGGCAACUAGGUGGAAUUCAACCUACUUAAUGUUAGACAGUGCUCAUAGGUUUGAGAGGGCAUUUGAGAGGUUUGAGGAGCAAGAUCCAUAUAUGCUACAUGAGCUAGAGCACUUGCCAACAAAAGAUGAUUGGGAAAAGGCAAGAUUCUUAACUUUAUUUUUGGAGAACUUUUAUGAUCUCACAGUAAAGGUUUCUGGUUCCAAAUAUGUGACAUCUAAUAAUCUUAUCAAUGAGCUUAGUCACAUUAAUGGCAUCCUAAAGGAAAUGGCAGAAAGUGCUAAUUCCGACUUGUGUGCAAUGGCAAAAAUAAUGAAAGAGAAGUAUGAUAAGUAUUGGGGAAGAUUGGAGAAAAUGAACAUGUUGAUUUUCAUUGCUUACAUGCUUGAUCCUAGGACAAAGUUUGAGUACUUUGAAUUCGUUGCUUGUAAAAUGUAUGGUGAUACCGAAGGUGCUGUUGUGGCUCAUGUAGCCAAGGAUGCAAUGUAUGAAUUGUUUAAUGAUUACAAGAGACUCAAUACUCCUGCUGGAUCUUCUCAAUCCUCUAUUUCUUCACUUUCUAGUGGAUCUGAAAAUAGCAUCUCUUCCUUUGAUGGAGAAGUCUCCAAAAAAAUAAAUGAUAGAUACAGAAUUGAGUUCAAGAAAAGAAAAGUUGAACUUGGAGGAAAGAAUGCUAAAUCUGAACUUGACAAAUAUUUGAGUGAGGAUUGUGAGGAUGAGGAUCCCGAGUUCGAUAUCUUGAAUUGGUGGAAAGGUAAUAGUUUUCGGUUGCCAAUACUUUCGCAAAUGGCUCGUGAUGUGUUGGCUGUGCCGGUCUCUACGGUUGCUUCCGAAUAUGCCUUUAGUACCGGAGGACGUGUUCUUGAUCCAUUCAGAAGCUCUUUAACUCCAAGGAUUGUGCAAGCAUUGAUUUGUGCUCAAGACUGGUUUCGGGCAUCCGAAAAUGAGUUGAAUGUAGAAGAAAAAUUGGAGGAUCUUGAGGAAUUUGAAUCUGGUAAAUUAUCUUCUUUUUUAUUGACAAACUUGAAAUAUUUUUUCUAUUCAUAAAUGCAAUUAAGCUACUUCAUUAUUUUUUUUCUUUCUUGAAUAAUAGGUUUGAUCAAAGGAGGUGCAGAAGCCACAAUUGUUGAUGUUUGAAUUCUCUAAUGGUGAUUCUGAUUUGGUGCUCAAUGGAUUCUUAUUUCUUGGAAUUGUUUUGUAUUUGAAAUUUGGACUGGUUUGGACUGUAAUUGCUGGAAUUGUUUGGACUGGUUUGGACUGUAAUUGCUGGAAUUGUUUGGACUGGUUUGGACUGUAAUUGUUUGGACUGGAAUUUACAUAGUGAUUCUGAUUUGGACUGUAAUUGUUUUGUAUUAUUUCCUGGAAUUGUUUUGUAUUUCCUGCAUUUACUUUGAACAGGUUUCUGUUUUUGAACAGGUUUCUGCAUGUAUCCCGACUGUUUUUGAACAGGUUUCUGCAUGUAUCCCGACUGUUUUUGAACAGGUUUCUUGAAAGAAAUGAGAGGGCAAAAAAAAAAAAAAUUCGGUGAAUUCGGAAUUCACCGAAUUCCGAAUUCAAUUCGGUAGCGAAUUUGAAUUCGGUAGUUGCCAUUUCGAAUUCGAAUUCGGUCGGUGAAAUUGAAGCCAAAUUUCCGAAAAAUUCCGAAUUCAACUUCCGAAUUACCGAAUUCGAAUUCGAUGCACACCCCUACCUGUUGUCAGAUGAAAUUUCGUGCAAUUCUUUAUAUUGUGUCUUAUUUCUUGAAUUGCAUGAAGCCUAGGCAGAUUUCACAUGCAAAAAGGAUAAUCCCCCAGUUUGAUAUUUUGGUUGAAACUUAAAAAGGGGGAUGAACAUAUAAGAAACCCAUGCAGGCAUAGAUCAAGUCUUCUAGCAAUCAGGAAUGAUGCCUACUGAAUUAGACUAUUCAGCACUGCUAAAAAUGGGAUAUCUCACGAGUAGGCAGGUGAUUUGUGUGGAUAUACUUGGUUGAAUUCUCAUCCUGGCUUUGGCAAUUGCCAAGGCUGCCUGGUGAAAUUGUUGAUUAAUUUGCAACAUGAGACGUGGACAACCCUUUUUGGUUAAUAUGUAGGGAAAGCAAAUAUUGGUUUCUUUGACUUUCUUUAUUCCUUAGUCACAAUUAUAGAUGACAAAUCAACCCAUUUAAUUAAAUUUACCCAUACCCGCCCAUGAAUAGUUGGGUAUAGGUAUGUUAAGUUUUUGCAUAUGGGUAUAAAUGGGUUAUCCAAUAAUACUCAUUUUAAAUGGGUAUUAUUGGAUAACCCAUCAAACCCAAUUAACCUAUUUAAAAUUGUUUUUCCUCAAAUCUCCUCUCUUCCCCCUUCCAUUUUUUUUUUCAGAUUUUUCAUUUUGUUAUAAUGUUAACUACUUUUGUUUCAUUAUUAUUGUUAUUUGUUGGUUUUAUUUUAUCAUUUUAUUUUCUCUUAAUUUGUUAACUUACUCAUUUUUUAGCAUUACCAAUUUAUGAUAAGUUUUAGCCUCUUUUCCUACAUUUUCAAAAUGAAAUUUUAAAUUUAUACAUGAAAAAAAUAUUAGGGGUUCAAAAUUUUUGGAUUAAGUUUUUAUGUUAAUUUUUAUAGUACUUAAUUUAAAAUUUUAUAUUUUUAUUAUUCAAUUAUUAAAUAUAUGUAAUUUUGCGACAUAGAAUACGGAUAGGAAAAAAAUUGAUAAUUAGGCUUAUUGAACAUUAUAGGUAAAUAUUUAAAACUAAUGAUGGGUGCAAAGAGUGGUAUAAAUUGAUAACUUAGGUUGCAAAAAUGAAUAUAAAUGAGUUUACAAAAAGUUAAAAUAAAUAGGUUAUAAAUGGAUAAUUGGGUUAUCCAAUUUAUUUUUUGACUUAUCCAUUUAUACCCAUAUAAUUAAAUAUGUAUAAAUGACUUGACUCACUUAUACCCAUUAUCCAUUUUACCCAACUCAAACCCGCCCAAGUCACCCAUUUUGACACCUCUAAUCACAAUGAUAGGUUUCCCUUGCCAAAAGUUGCCUUCCACCCCGACUGACUGGCCAGGGGAUCGAUCCCUUGACCGGUCAGCGAGAAACUUUCAGCCAAAGGAAGGUUGCGAAAAGGCCAUUGCCUUUUCUAUCAAUGAGGUUGGGAAAAGAUAGUAUUGAAAUUUCCACAUAUUAUCCAUGUAUGUAAUACAUACAUCCAUAUAUAUAUAUAUAUAUAUAUAUAUUGUAAUACUUGAUUAGUACAAUUGAUUGAUAAGAUGAUGGACAAAAUAUAAAAAUUUUAAUACUAUUAAUACAGUGUAUCUAUGAACAAAGAGAAGAAUUUGAACUAUAAUAAUAACAAGUUAGUGCAAUUCUUGCAUACAUUUCAGUAUAACUGAUUUUCACAAUCAAGACCCGAGGUUUACAUGGUCAUACUUCUUGACCCGAAAUUUUGACCAAUAAAGGGUUUUUUUUUUUUUAAUGUUCUGCUUCUGCCAAUAAUACUACGAGACAUUUGUACGAUUCUUCCCCUUCUUCUGAACUUUUCAAUUUGAAUAUGUAUCAUUUUGAUCCCUAAUUUUGCUGCUGAUAGACAUAAUAGUAAGGUAAAUUUGAAAUCCGUGGUUUAACUCUCAAACCAUUCUUUUUCCUCUAUCAUGGUUUGUAAUCUCUCUUUAUAAAAAAAAAAAAAAUCUCUUUUCUUGCCCAAAAUUAAAAAAAAAAAGGGAAAUCAGUCUUUAUGUUACAUAUAGAAAAUGUGUACUACUCGAGAAAACAAAAAUAAUGAUCAUAGAAAAUUCAAAAAGGGAUACAUGAAUGUAAAGUAAAACUAGUGGCUUCCCAAAGUACUGCCAAAAGGGUAAUUCAACUUUUAUCCUGCUCUAAGAAAAUAGGCAAAAAAAUAAUAAAAAGAAAAUAACUAUAGAAAUUCUAAAAUAUCUCUGUGAAAUUCUAAUUUCUUGAUUAUUGGCAAAAACUUGGCACUAUCCAAUCUAUCUAAUGUGUUGUGCGGACAUGGCUGUGCCUGAGUUUUAACUACGUGUAAUGACAUCUUUCUAUGCCACCGAGUUAAUUGCACCAUGUAGGAUUUAAUACAUAAAGCAUGCAUGGGUUAAAGGGCUGUGUAUGAGGAAAUGAGAUGAUGUCCACCGGAGCAGGUGCCGUGCUUCAAAAUCCUUAUGCAUUACAAGCUGGAUAUCAGGGGGUGCAGGUGCCCCAAUUCCCCCUCCCAAUUUAUGCCAAUGAGGCCAGCCGGUGUUGGAAUGGGAAUGCAUGGCAUUUCUUCUUCAACUGCGCUACCUGUGAUGCCAUUCCCCUUGGCUAGUCCUUGUCAAUCAACCCUAGCAGCCUCAGGAUUGGGCAUGGUUGGUCCAAUGCCUCAGAUGCACUUGCCACUGAAUCCUUUCCAACCAUUGCCCUCAGCAGAUUCUGGUUCCACUUUGAUGGCUGCACAAACAUCUUGUACAAGCUUAUCUUCAACCUUAGUUUGUACAACUCAAGCAGAAACUAGUUCACUGAGUGUGCCAAGAGCGGCUCAAGUGCCUCAGACGGAUCAGGUUCUUUCUUUUCUACUUCUCUGUUGGACCUCCAGAUCAUUCAUUCAUAUUACAUGCUCCAAUCUAUGAAAAUUAUGCUCAGUUAAUGCAGAUUUGUAAGUUUCUUCCAUUGCACCUAUCUAUUGGAGUUCAUAUAAGUGGAUAUGUUUGUCAUGUCCUGCAUAUCUUGAAUUUACAACAUUUUAGCUUCAGUUCAUUUAGGCUCUUAUCAGAAUGACCAUUUGUUAAACUGCAUAUUUUGCAUGUGCAAGAGGUUACUGUAUUGAAGAUAUUUAUCUGUAGCUGUGAAAGACAAAAGUUUCAAGCGUUAUGUGACUAUGCAAAUCUUAGGGGCCGAUCGCAAGUGGUUCAACUUCAAUAGUUCUGCCAAGUCAAAUUAUAACUCCUGCUUCCUCAUCAAGUACCAGUCCAGUAGAUGAGGUUCCAUUGCAUCCCGGAGGAAAGCAUCGAUAGUGGCUCUAGCCAGAGGUAGGUUCUUUCUCAUGUCUGAUGUAUAUCAGAUAUUUACUAUAUGGUUUGUUAGAUGAAUUAGUUGAGUGGUAAAUUGCUUUGACACACCAGGAUUUGAGUUGAGGCCAAAGAUGGUAGCGAGAGUUGUUUACAGUUUCAGGAGCAACAGGGAGUUCAUUCUUUUCAGCCUUACCGUUUCACCCAUUCUUGGUCUACAACAACACUGUUGCAGAUCAUGGCUAAGGUCUUGCAAGAAAUGAAGUAAUAGAACAGUUAUUACCUCAUCUUGGUUUAUUACUGCAGUUGAAUCACAUAAUCUGUGGUGCAAAAGCACUUGGUUUCUCAACUUUUCUGUACAUUCGCGAUUCUCUUAAUUUGUUCUUGUCUAUGGUUUCUCCUUAGUUCAGCAGUGAGCAAGUACUGAAGCAUUUGGAUUCAAACGGAAAACCUUUUGAGAAAAUUGCCUCUGAAUUGUAUGCCUGAUUCAUCAUGCCUUUCCAUUUUUUCUGUUUCCCUUCUUAUCUUCCUUUUCCUCAACUUUUCUGGACUAAUGCACUGGAACGAUCUGGUUGCAGGACUGAAUACAGCAGAUGUUCGUUCAACAAACCCUGCGUUUCCUGCAAAAGCCUAAUCAGAUUCUUCAAGGAUUAGAACAAUGAAGUCACAAAUCUAACCUCCAGGAACAGCCUCCUUGCUAAUUAAAAGAUAAAUUCUCAUUGAAUUACCCGCAAGAAUAUGCAAGGUACGAUUACUUAACCAGCUAUAGUGGUCAUGAACUCUUUAAGAUUCCUAAACCAUCCUCUCUCGGUAUGCCAAAGCACAUCAAGUCUUAUCCGGCACUUAAAUGUUUGCAUCAGGAAACUCCCCAGGUCAAUCUUAUUGAACAAAGUUUUGGAGGGUAAUUCCCUUCAGCUCUUUGACAUUGACAUUUCAGCACAAAAGCUUUCAGAAAAAAACAACAGGCCAUCAUGCCCGAAGAGUCACCUUGGAAGAAAUUUUUUACCCACUGUGGAUCAAGACUUGAAGCUUAAUGGCAAACUGACUAAUUAUCUCAUUUUCUGCUCACUCGGUAUUGCAAUAAAAGUAAACUACCUCCUCUUAUUUGUAUGAUAACCCUGCAAGAAGCCGCUCAAAAUUUGUCAGGCGCUGUAUCCGCCACAGAAAAUCCUAGUCAGGAUAUUUCUGUUUCACCAGUUUACUAUGAUGAUUUUAUUUGGUGCUGUCUAAUUGUAGAGGUGAAUAUUCGACUAGCACUGCCUAUGAUGUCUACUCUUUGAUCUGCGCCAGAAUAUCAGUUGUGGCAGGAGGGAACUUCCCAAUCCUCAGAACCCAAAACGGGUUCUAUCCAUGGACUUGCAAACAUGAAAGAAAAACAAGAAGCUCCGAGAAGUUCAAAGGGAACUUUAGAAUAGCUCCAGUUGCAGCAAAUGUAACCGUAAGAGAGUGAUUCACCUUUUAUGAAUUGUCUAUAAUUCAACACUUAAUGGAGGGAUAGGAUCUAAGAUAACAAUUUAUAAGGAUAAAAAAAAUCUAAGAGUAAUAUUAAUGUGGCAAGAAAUAAAGGAAAGCUGGUAUCGCUCCUACGUCCAUUCCGAGAAUAUCAGAACUUUGUUACUGUUGCUUCAUGCAACAGGUAAAAGGUCCAUUUGACGGCUUCAAGCUAUCUCUCAAAGUCUAAAUUACAGCAACCCAUAUUUCAAAAUAUUCCAUCAUUUUUCAACAAAGUGCUCUUUCCCCUAAUCUGUAGAACACAGAUUUGAUCAUAUUUAUUGACCUUACACUAAGCUGCAGAAGCGGUAGGUACAAAAUUCAACACAUUCUGCAGGCAUUAGCACUUCUGACAAUUCCAAAGGUUUAUCAGCGUAAUUAACGCUCUACUAAAAUUCAAUAGAGACAGAGAUCAAGAACUUUGGUGGAGAUACAUUUCUCCAUUAUUGAAGAAUAGUACAUAAUCACUCAACAAGAAUUAACACAGCUACAUUUAUGGAAGGGACUGGAUUUGGUUAUAUUGAUGAGAUGACAAGGUCUAUGAAAAUGGAAAAGAGUAUGACUUCUACAAAAUGAAGCACUGCAGGCUUAUAACCACCUUUUCCCUGUGAAGUAUAUGGAAUUUUGACAGUUACAAUUCCAGCAUAUGCCUCAACAAUCAUAGAUCCUUCACAGGAGUUGCUAGCAUCUCCCACUAAAAGUGUCAGAGCACAGGUCUUGCCAAUAAUAGUUCUAGCUACUUGUGCAAUGGCACUUUCUUUUCCUGCCACAAGUUCCGCAACCCUGCUGUUAUGAGGAGUACUGAGAGAUGAGCCGCAUCGAUGUAUUUUACAGCUUUGAGGGAUUCAAUCAUCCAAGCAGGUGGAGAAGAGCGACCAUCCUCAAUGUGUUUGGUGGUAUGACCUCCCCUGUGCUGGGAAACAUGUAUGGACCUCUUCAAAAUCCCCAUCUUCGACAAGUUGUCUGCUAGCAAUAGAGAAUUAUGCAAUGAAUCAGUAACCGAUAGUCAAAAAGCACAUAGGCUAUACUGCAAAUGAAACCAUUAAUUUCUUGCAAUGUACAUUUAUCACUUUGUAGUCCCAGAUGAUAAUACUACUUUUUUUUUCCUUUUAGAUCAUAAUACUUCAAAACUUGUAUAUCAACAGAUUGAAUGACAAUUGAAGGCAAGGGGGCAUAGUUGAUUCAAUCCAUUGAAUAUGCAAUUUCUGCACUCAACGAUUCAAAUCAGUGAAGGGGCAAGCUAAUUGUGAUGCACCUAGAAGGUCAGUUAAUUCAUCAUAUACACUUAAAUCUUAGGGGACCCCAAUCUAACUGUUGCCAGAAAUAUGGCCCUGGUUAAUUUACUGUGACAAUGAUAGACAUGGCCAGGGCUGGCGUCUGCCAUUUGCAGCAUAAAUUAGCAGAAUGUGCAGCAUAAACUCUGGAGUUAGGCCCUACUAACUAAAUUUAGUUUUGAAGGGUAAAGGCUAGAAAUACAAGAGAGAUAUUUACAUAUCACAUGCUAAUUUACAUCAAAGAGAGAUAUUUGUUGAACUAGACUGCGCUCUAUGAUGUUGUACUUAAUUCCCAAUUUAAUGUUUCUUUCACCAACUCUCUUAUUUAUGGGCAAAGACAUGCACAUAAUAAAAAUACAGAAGCAUAAGAGUCCCAAUUAGCCAAUUCAAUCAAGCCUCAGAUCAACACUCAGAAAAGAUAGGGAAAAAAAAAAGAAUUUACAUAAAGAGCUAUGUAAAAAAAAGGCAAAAAUUAACCUCAAAAUUGGAUAUUUUCUCCGUCAGAAGAUUUGGGAUAGCCAUUAUACUCCAACUUCACAUUCAACGUGGCACAAAUAGCCCGAAACUUCAACCUCAAAGAAUCCAUAACAUCCCCAACCGACUCAUCUUCUGGGUCGGAUAUUGGAUACUUGCUCAGUAACUCUUCCAUUUGCUUGAUCCUUCUUACGACCCGAGAUGAAAAGCAAUUUGAAUCGACCUGAAUAGCAGAAUUCCACACAUCAAUACAACCCUUGUAAAAGCCCAAUUCUUCGCCGAUUUCGAACCCGGUUUUUAAGCCUACUUGCCGGCCGUCUUCCUCCCCGGAGACUAAACCGUCGGCGUAGCCCUCGUUGUAGCCUUCUUUGACGUGGGUUUCUUCUAGAUUCAGCGACGAGUCAAAAAUACCUUCUAUUGAGUUGGGCUCAACCGAGACUGCCAUUGUUGUCGGAAGAAUGGAGCUCAAGACUGAUUUUCGUGGAUUAAUUGGAAAGACAAGAUAAGAGCCGACCUCCCCUGAGGUUUUGCCUAAUAUCAUUUAGCAUGCACAAGCUGAAGCCAAUCAGCUACCAUACAAAGUUACAGACAAGUAAGCUAAUAUAGUCUAUCAAGCCUUAUCCAAGGCAGGUUUAUUAACUAAUGUUCUAGGCUAAUAGGCCUUGUCAUCAACCUCCGCAGGUAGUCCGAUUGAUUCCAUAACCUAAUAAUUACCAGCAGAUCCUGCGAUCGAUUUUCGUGUACUAUCUUCUUGUGUAUCUUGGAACAAGACUUUACACAAUUUUCAGAGAUUAGUCACGAAAGGCUAAAAUAUCCUAUAUUAAAAACAAAAAAAAAAAUAGGCCUUGUCAUCAUAUGAAGAGAAUAGAUUCUAUACUAGUUGUACCAGUGCAUGCCAACAAAGUGGAGACAACAAUGAAUCUAAACACAAUUCAUUGAUUUCAAACACUGAAAUGCCAAAGUCAAAAGUUUUUUGGGGUUUUUUUUUGGAGGGGGGGGGGGGUGGUGGUUAUAACAGAGCACACACAAUCACAGAAAAUAUUCAUUUAACAAACCCUAGACCCAGAAAACAAGGGAAAGAAAGGAAGAUAAAUUUACAAAAGUACAAAAAUAUGGGAAAAGCUCAGUAAAUAUUUUCCAAGUAAACAACAAAAAAGCCGUUAGUUUUUUUAGAUUAGAUCACCGAAAAUUCUAGAAGAAAUCCAAAAAUACUAACUGCAGUCAAGUGAAGAGUAAAAACUCGGAUCUCAGUAAAAUUAGUUAAAUCACUCAGAUCUCAGUAAAAAUCAUACAAAAACCAAAACAUAGAAAUCACGCUGCUCCACAAAAAAAUCUCAAAAACCACUAAAAUCCCUAGACUCCAACCCACUCAAACCACAACAAAAACCGAGUAAAUUCAACGAUUUUUUUACCUCAAUACCGCUAAUAAAAACCUACCUUUUCCCUCUCCUCUUCUUCCUACUUCACCACUGCCUUCUCUGCCUGCCAAUAGUGGAGCAGAAAAUCUCUACCUUUUUUUUAUCUUUUCUACUCGCUCCGACUGUAAUACUACCUCCUCAUUUUUUAGAAGGAAGAAGAAGAAGAAGUAAAGAAGAAAGUGGAGCCUACGACAUUUAAUGAGUCGGGCGUUUAACUUUUAAAAAACACACACGACACCAAAGUAAGAAAAGUCCCAGCAAAAGAUGACUCACUCCCUCCUUUCCUCUUUUUAGUUUUGGGAUAAUUUCAUAUACCUCCCCUGAGGUUUUUGACAAUUUCCCCUCAAGUUUAAAAAAUUAUAUUUACCUCCCCUAAUUUGAUAAUUUUAGUAACAAAGCCUUAAAAUAAUAUUGACUUGAUCAAUUUUAAAUAAAUAUCCAAAAAUACCCUUGUGUAAUGAGUUUUAAUUUAUUUUUCUAUACAAUUAUAAGAUUAUUUAAUAUAAUUAUAAGAAAAAGAUACCAAAAAUUUCAUGUCCAUAUCUGCUAUUUGGUAAACAACCAUAAUAAUAAUUUUAUUACUAUGAUAUGAUACUUUUAAUGGUAUUUUAUUAUGGAUUUAGAUUUAUAAGAUAGAAAAGAAAAUAUUGAAAUAAUUUAUUUAGAGUUUAUGAAUUUUUGGAGUAGUGGGAUUAUCAUAAUUUAAUAGUGCUUUUGAGGCAUUUCUUUUUUAUUCAUUGUUAAUUUUAAUAUCAAAAAAUAGGAAACAAAGAUCAGCAAAAACAUUCGAUUACAAAUAAAAUUAAUUUAUCAAAAAAAUCACUAGUUCAACAUUUAAUUAUAAUAGAAAUUAGAGGUAAUAGUGGUAGUUAUGCAAUUUUAUUGGCAAAAAAAUUAAAAAAAGUAAUAAGAAGGAAAAAGAAUGAAAAGAUAAUUUUAAAACUCCGUCUAAGUAUAAGCAUACCAAAUUAGGGAAUUUUAUUAAAAUAUUUAAGGGUAAAAUUGUUAUUCUAAAUGACAAGGGAGAUAUGUGUAAUUUUUCAAAGCUCAGAAUAGCUUAGUGAAAUUGUCAGAAACCUCAGGAGAAGUUUCUAAAAUUAUCCCUUUAGUUUUUUGUAGUGUCUUCAAUUAUUUUUUUUUCUUUUAUUUGAUGAAAGAAAUAAAACUCAAGAACCAAAACCCAAAAUAAAUUGUUUUGUCACUCGGCACUUGUCUAUCUUACCCUUAAUCUUACUCCUAUUCUAGCUUAUACAAAAAGGGAGAGUUCAACUGAGUCAUGGAGGAACAGACAAGAACUGAACCACCAUCGAACCAAACGGGGGCGUAGUGCAUCCAUAUGGACUUGAGUUAUUUAAAGUGACAGCCACAUAUAAUGUCAAGUAGUGGGAGGUAAGGUUUGAACUCUUGAUCUUCCACCCUACCAAGCCUUAAAGGCUAUGGUGGUAGCCAACAGCCCAAAUAGCUGUUGGUUGGUACUCAUAAAUUUUUACCAAACUCAGAAAUAAAUUUGUUAAGACACAUGUAGAGGUUAGGUACUCAUAAACUUUUAAUGUUAAUGGCCUAGAGGUAUAGUUGAAAUUUUUUUUUUUUAAACUUCUUUACUUAUUGCAAAAUUUAUUUUGAGUAUCAAAUAUUUUUAUUGUUAUUAUUGUCUUGGGUAAACUGCUAAUUUCAUCCCUAAACAUUUUCACUAAUACCAAUUUUAUCCUUGAAUGUUUUUUUAACUUGGCAUUGGUUCCUGAACUAAAAUUUUCCUGCCAAUUAAGUACCUUCACGGCAGUGCGUCCCCAAACAUUUUUCAUAGCUAGACAAACAACCGCUUAGAGGCAUUUUAGGAAGUUCAAUUAAUACUUGUGUUGGACCAACGUCAUCAUCAUCCACCAUUGAUCACUAGAGUGUGAAGACUAGCAAAACGAUUUGAUUCCUCAACUAGCACUCUUUUUUAUACUUCUAGCAGAAGAAAUAGAAUAUGUUUUUGCUUUCAAAUCUAUUAACUUUGCAACAACAGUUGGAGGCCAUGCCCAGUUGCGACCUGGGGGAGGGGAGGGUGGCGGGGUGAGAGAGAGGAGAGGAGAGGAGAGGAGAGGAGGGGAGCGGGAGGAAAGAGGAAGAGGUAAGAUAGGGGAGAGGAGGCGAGGGAGCAGGGAUGAGGAGGAGGGACGAGGAGAGAGGGAGAAAGAGAGAGAAAAAAAAAGAAUGAGAAUGUGGAGGGUUGAGGUGGGAAAGGAAGAGGAAGAAAGGAAAGAAUUAAAAAAAAAAAUUUAGUUAUUUUGAGAUGUGUAUUUUAAAAAUUUUGAGGAGUUGGUAAAGUUAUUGAAAAACUUAUAGAAAAAAACUUAACAAAUAUUUGUUUGCCAAACAGGCUAUUAGCUUGUUUAUGCUAAACCGAUUUUGGACAAAUUUUUUAUCGAGAUUAAAAGUUAUCAAUUAUAAAAUGCUGUUCAAACUUGGGUUGAUUAGUUGGUGACUCUUAUCAAACUAAACUCAAUUUAGAGUAUCGAGUAAUUUGGUUCAUUUUUCAACUCUAGCUUUAGAUUAAGUACCUGCUGAUAUAUUUUCCCAAUAAUUGAGAUUGCCUUUCUUUAAUUGGAUUGAAUACGACUGAAGUUCUGAACUUUUUUCACAAAAUGUAGGAUUUUAUAGGGUUUACUAAAAGGCGGGGAUUUAUGUUAUCUUUGUGACAUGCUCAAUGUUUUUUUCUACCAUUAGUGCAGAUUUCAUAGAAUAAACUUUCGUCUUUUAUUAAAAAAAAAUUUCCCAAGUGCUAAACCUUGAAAAUAUGUGGUGUUUGAUUCACUAUGUCAAUCAACUUGACAUGGCUAAAAGUAGGACUGUCAAUGGGGUCGAGCUAGCUUGAGCUUGGCUCAUUUGACCCGAAAAAAAGUCCAAUGAACCCGACUUUUUAGUGAGCUAAUCUGAGGUUAAGCCUAAAAAUUAGGUCCAAAUUAAAUAUGAGUCAAGUUUGGGUCUCAUUAGGUUCAAAUCCAAUAUAGGUCCGAUCCUUUAAUUACCUAUAUAUAUAUAAUAUUUAUAUUUUGAUAUUAUGUAUAAUUAUAUAUCCAAAUAUAUUAUUACUAAAUAGUAAAUAUAUACAAAUUACAAAACACAAAAAUGCAUCUGAAAAUUAUUCUACUAGUUUUCUAGAGAGCCAAUAUUAGUAAUGCAUAACUGAAUAUUUAACUUUUCUAUUGGUUGAAUAAGUUUUUGUGUUGGCAUAACAUUGAUUAAUUUUUUUUUUAUCUAGAAACACAAAUCAUCAAGCAUGUUUGGAAUCAAAUCACAAGGUUAUAAAGAAGUUCCAAUCUUUGAAAAUGUAUUGACUUAUGACCGCAUGUUUUAUUACUACUUUUUAUGUAUUUUGAAAGAAUUAGAUAUAAAUAUUGUUGAAAAUUUUUUUAUUUAUAUACUUUUUUAAAACUAUUACUUAUUCAUAUUUAGUUUUAAUGUUAUAGUCUGAUAAAUAUUAAAUUAGUUUUACAACUUAAUAGUUAUAGUAAUUAUAUUAUGAAAAUUAAGGAGUAAUAAGUGAGUUUAGGCUAAACUUGAAUAAGGUUCACAACCCGAAUAUUAUGUGAGUUAAGAAUGAACUUCACAUUUAUUAAUCCGAAACUCAUAACUCCAAAUCCGAAGAUGUUAUAAAUUAAAUAAGCUGAACUUGAACUUAUGAAAGUCCGGCUCAUUAGGCCCUAUUGACAGGUCUAGCUAAAAGAUUAGGAAGUGUUUGAUGAGCCUAUCAAUUGUUGUACGUUAUUAGAAAUUAACACUUACAAUUUUCAUUCUACUUAUUAUGGCUAUUUUUAUACUUGACUUUAGAAUGAAUAUUGUUAAGCAGACUAAUUGUGACUUGUUACAAUUUUCAAUUGGCCAGAUGCGAAGGGACAGGAUUAGGAGAAAGAUGAAAGCUCUCCCAAGAUUUGAUCCCCAACUGCAACACUGUGAAUGCUUUAUCUGUUUUACACUUCUGAGCUAUAUCCAUAAUACAAGGACAAUAUUUUCUUGUACUUUUUUUCAAGAAAAGAACUGUAUCAAAAAAUAAAAUCUGGUUUGUCAAACAAUCUUUUAGGCAAUCUGGGAUGAAAUACGAGCAGGAGAGUUUGUCUGAAGAAAUUUCCAAUUCUAAAUGCAAUGCCUAAUAUAUUACACUUGAAAAAGGAUUUUAAAACUUCUCCAUAAGAUUGGUUGCUAAUUGUUGUGAUCCUUCCAAGCUUUGCAUUACAUUUAAGAGGGGAAAAUCAGUUCGAUAGACCUCUAGUCAUGGAAAAUAUGUCCAGAGUAUAAAUCAGUUAUUGAUAAAUGAUUUUCAGUCCUUUUCUCAGGUUUUUCAGGUCCUGGCCUGUUCUUUUGUGCUUGAUAAUUGACAUUUCCUGCUUGACAUUUCCUGCAAGAUCAAAUUCUGGUAAUCCUUUCUAUGACCUUCCUUGGCAACUGAAACAUAAAGCAUGCAUGGUUUAAAGGGAUGUGAGCAUGAAUAUUGACUUUCCGCAGUGGAUGAGAAAAUCCAGAUUAUGUCCACUGAAGCAGGUGCCCCCAUUCCCCUCUCAGUUUAUGCCAAUGAGGGCAGGUGUUGGAAUGGGAAUUUGUGGCAUGUCUUGUUCAACUGCACUGCCAAUGAUGCCAUUUCCCUUGGCCAGUCCUUGUCAAUCAACUCUAGCAGCCUCAGGGAUGGCCAUGGUCCAAUGCAUCAGCUGCAAUUGCCACUGAAUCCUUUCCAACCAUUGCCAUCAGCAGAUUUCUGGUUCCACUUUGACAGUUGCUCAAACAUCCUGUGCAAGGCGAUGAAAGUGACUCCAGCCAGAAGUAGGUUUUUUCUCCUGUCUUUUUUAUUUGAGAUGUUUAUUUUAUGGUGUAUUAGAUUAUUAGUUGACUGCAAAAAAUGGUAAAUUGCUUUGACAUGACAGGAUUUGAGUCGAGGCCAAAGAUGGUCGAGAGAGUUGCUUACAGUUUCAGGAACAAAAGGAAGUUCAUUCUUUUCAGCCUUUAUUUCAACCAUUCUUCAUUUACAACACUGUUGCAGGUCAUGGCUAAUAAGGUCUUGGAAGAAAUGAAGUAAUAGAACAUUUAUUACCUCAUCUCGGUUUAUUAGUGUAGCUGGAUCAACAUAAUUUGUGGUGUAAAAAGCACUUGGUUUAUCAACUUUGCCGCACCUUCGCUAUUCCAUUCAUUUGUUCUGAUGUAUACUUUCUCCUUAGUUCAGCUGUGAGCAAGUACUGAAGAAUUGGAUUCGAAAGGCAAACCUUUAAGAGGGCGGCAAUUCACCAUUUAUGAAUUGUCUAUGAUUCAACACUUAAUGAAGGGAUAGAAUCUAAAGAGUAAUUUCUCCAUUUUAAAAGGAUAAGGAUUCUAAGAGUAAUAUUAAUGUAGCAAGAAAUAUAGAAAAGUUGGCACCACUUUUGCGUCAAUCCAUUCCCAGGAUAUCAGAAUUUUGCUGUUGCAGCAUCAUGCAAAAUGCAAAAGAUCUAUUUAACAGAUCCGCAUCAUAGUUUCAACUUUCAAGGUGUCUGAAAUUGCAGCAACCCAUGUUUCAAUCAUUCAUCAUUUUUCAACGAAAUCCUAUUUCCCUUAUUCUGUGAACACAGGAUUGAUGAUGUUUAUUGACUUGUACACAAAGCUUGAGAAGUGGGAAGUACAAAUCCAACAAAUUCAGAAGAGACAUUAGCAUAUCUGACAAUUCUAAAGAUAUAUCAGUGUAAUUUAGCAUCUAAAACUGAAAAAAAAAAAAAAAAAAGACAGAGAGAAAGAGCUUUGGUUGAAAUACUUUUCUCCAUUAUUGAAGAAUAGUACAUAAUCACUCAACCAGAAUCACGCUUCUACAUAUAUGCUAUAUGACUUCUACUAGUACUAAAGGUAUUGCUGGUAAAAAUAGCAAGUAAAACUGAGGGAGUAAACCUCAAUGCAUCCCUCACAAACAUUCUUCGUAUACCAAAGUUUUUCUUCUGCGUCUUAGCCACUCAUUUGCUUCAACAGGAGCACCAUUA
Molecule: long non-coding RNA, 55655 nt
Filed under: Coffea arabica (coffee)
Lineage: Eukaryota; Viridiplantae; Streptophyta; Magnoliopsida; Gentianales; Rubiaceae
Description: long non-coding RNA (CARA_LNC006047)
Source: RNAcentral